GUUAGUUCUGAGUGAAUUCCCUCGGUAUGAUAAUUCUUUCAUCAGUUUGUUCCCUGUUUCUUCUCUAGCCUGAGCCUAACACACUAUUCUAGCUAGACAUGGGUGUGGCUCGUAACACCUGAUGACCAAACGGAUCGACGGCACCAUCGAAUCUCAAACUUUAACUGCCAAAACUAUUGUUUUUCAUCCUGUAGUCCCAUUUAGAAUUACAAAACGUCCUUUUUUGGGCCGAGAUUUAGAGGAACGCUUUCUCGGGGUUUGUGUGCAAGUAUUUCAAACCAUACGGACCUAAAAAUUAGAAGUCAUUCCAUCUUUAUUCCCCUAGAGCCUUCCAGCAGUUCCUAAACNNNNNNNNNNNNNNNNNNNNNNNNNNNNNNNNNNNNNNNNNNNNNNNNNNNNNNNNNNNNNNNNNNNNNNNNNNNNNNNNNNNNNNNNNNNNNNNNNNNNNNNNNNNNNNNNNNNNNNNNNNNNNNNNNNNNNNNNNNNNNNNNNNNNNNNNNNNNNNNNNNNNNNNNNNNNNNNNNNNNNNNNNNNNNNNNNNNNNNNNNNNNNNNNNNNNNNNNNNNNNNNNNNNNNNNNNNNNNNNNNNNNNNNNNNNNNNNNNNNNNNNNNNNNNNNNNNNNNNNNNNNNNNNNNNNNNNNNNNNNNNNNNNNNNNNNNNNNNNNNNNNNNNNNNNNNNNNNNNNNNNNNNNNNNNNNNNNNNNNNNNNNNNNNNNNNNNNNNNNNNNNNNNNNNNNNNNNNNNNNNNNNNNNNNNNNNNNNNNNNNNNNNNNNNNNNNNNNNNNNNNNNNNNNNNNNNNNNNNNNNNNNNNNNNNNNNNNNNNNNNNNNNNNNNNNNNNNNNNNNNNNNNNNNNNNNNNNNNNNNNNNNNNNNNNNNNNNNNNNNNNNNNNNNNNNNNNNNNNNNNNNNNNNNNNNNNNNNNNNNNNNNNNNNNNNNNNNNNNNNNNNNNNNNNNNNNNNNNNNNNNNNNNNNNNNNNNNNNNNNNNNNNNNNNNNNNNNNNNNNNNNNNNNNNNNNNNNNNNNNNNNNNNNNNNNNNNNNNNNNNNNNNNNNNNNNNNNNNNNNNNNNNNNNNNNNNNNNNNNNNNNNNNNNNNNNNNNNNNNNNNNNNNNNNACUGCCAAAACUAUUGUUUUUCAUCCUGUAGUCCCAUUUAGAAUUACUAAACGUCCUUUUUUUGGGCCGAGAUUUAGAGGAACGCUUUCUCGGGGUUUGUGUGCAAGUAUUUCAAACCAUACGGACCUAAAAAUUAGAAGUCAUUCCAUCUUUAUUCCCCUAGAGCCUUCCAGCAGUUCCUAAACCGCUCUAGUCGGGGCACGUUAUCAUUCUUGUUAGUUAUGAGUGAAUUCCCUCGGUAUGAUAAUUCUUUCAUCAGUUUGUUCCCUGUUUCUUCUCUAGCCUGAGCCUGACACACUAUUCUAGCUAGACAUGGGUGUGGCUCGUAACACCUGAUGACCAAACGGAUCGACGGCACCAUCGAAUCUCAAACUUUAACUGCCAAAACUAUUGUUUUUCAUCCUGUAGUCCCAUUUAGAAUUACUAAACGUCCUUUUUUGGGCCGAGAUUUAGAGGAACGCUUUCUCGGGGUUUGUGUGCAAGUAUUUCAAACCAUACGGACCUAAAAAUUAGAAGUCAUUCCAUCUUUAUUCCCCUAGAGCCUUCCAGCAGUUCCUAAACCGCUCAAGUCGGAGCAUGUUAUCAUUCUUGUUAGUUCUGAGUGAAUUCCCUCGGUAUCAUAAUUCUUUCAUCAGUUUGUUCCAUGUUUCUUCUCUAGCCUGAGCCUGACACACUAUUCUAGCUAGACAUGGGUGUGGCUCGUAACACCUGAUGACCAAACGGAUCUAUGGCACCAUCGAAUCUCAAACUUUAACUACCAAAACUAUUAUUUUUUCGUCCUGUAGUCCCUUUUAGAAUUACUAAACGUCCUUUUUUGGGCCGAGAUUUCCAGGAACGCUUUCUCGUGGUUUGUGUGCAAGUAUUUCAAACCAUACAAACCUAAAAAUUAGAAGUCAUUCCAUCUUUAUGCCCGUAGAGCCUUCCAGCAGUUCCUAAACCGCUCCAGUCGGAGCACGUUAUCAUUCUUAUUAGUUCUGAGUGAAUCCCCUCGGUAUAAUAAUUCUUUCAUCAGUUUGUUCCCCGUUUCUUCUCUAGCCUGAGCCUGGCACACUAUUCUAGCUAGACAUGGGUGUGGCUCAUAACACCUGUUGACUAAAUGGAUCGACGGCACCAUCGAAUCUCAAACUUUAACUGCCAAAACUAUUGUUUUUCAUCCUGUAGUCCCAUUUAGAAUUACUAAACGUCCUUUUUUUGGGCCGAGAUUUAGAGGAACGCUUUCUCGGGGUUUGUGUGCAAGUAUUUCAAACCAUACGGACCUAAAAAUUAGAAGUCAUUCCAUCUUUAUUCCCCUAGAGCCUUCCAGCAGUUCCUAAACCGCUCUAGUCGGGGCACGUUAUCAUUCUUGUUAGUUAUGAGUGAAUUCCCUCGGUAUGAUAAUUCUUUCAUCAGUUUGUUCCCUGUUUCUUCUCUAGCCUGAGCCUGACACACUAUUCUAGCUAGACAUGGGUGUGGCUCGUAACACCUGAUGACCAAACGGAUCUACGGCACCAUCGAAUCUCAAACUUUAACUACCAAAACUAUUGUUUUUCAUCCUGUAGUCCCUUUUAGAAUUACUAAACGUCCUUUUUUGGGCCGAGAUUUCCAGGAACGCUUUCUCGGGGUUUGUGUGCAAGUAUUUCAAACCAUACGAACCUAAAAAUUAGAAGUCAUUCCAUCUUUAUUCCCCUAGAGCCUUCCAGCAGUUCCUAAACCGCUCUAGUCGGAGCACGUUAUCAUUCUUGUUAGUUCUGAGUGAAUUCCCUCGGUAUGAUAAUUCUUUCAUCAGUUUGUUCCCNNNNNNNNNNNNNNNNNNNNNNNNNNNNNNNNNNNNNNNNNNNNNNNNNNNNNNNNNNNNNNNNNNNNNNNNNNNNNNNNNNNNNNNNNNNNNNNNNNNNNNNNNNNNNNNNNNNNNNNNNNNNNNNNNNNNNNNNNNNNNNNNNNNNNNNNNNNNNNNNNNNNNNNNNNNNNNNNNNNNNNNNNNNNNNNNNNNNNNNNNNNNNNNNNNNNNNNNNNNNNNNNNNNNNNNNNNNNNNNNNNNNNNNNNNNNNNNNNNNNNNNNNNNNNNNNNNNNNNNNNNNNNNNNNNNNNNNNNNNNNNNNNNNNNNNNNNNNNNNNNNNNNNNNNNNNNNNNNNNNNNNNNNNNNNNNNNNNNNNNNNNNNNNNNNNNNNNNNNNNNNNNNNNNNNNNNNNNNNNNNNNNNNNNNNNNNNNNNNNNNNNNNNNNNNNNNNNNNNNNNNNNNNNNNNNNNNNNNNNNNNNNNNNNNNNNNNNNNNNNNNNNNNNNNNNNNNNNNNNNNNNNNNNNNNNNNNNNNNNNNNNNNNNNNNNNNNNNNNNNNNNNNNNNNNNNNNNNNNNNNNNNNNNNNNNNNNNNNNNNNNNNNNNNNNNNNNNNNNNNNNNNNNNNNNNNNNNNNNNNNNNNNNNNNNNNNNNNNNNNNNNNNNNNNNNNNNNNNNNNNNNNNNNNNNNNNNNNNNNNNNNNNNNNNNNNNNNNNNNNNNNNNNNNNNNNNNNNNNNNNNNNNNNNNNNNNNNNNNNNNNNNNNNNNNNNNNNNNNNNNNNNNNNNNNNNNNNNNNNNNNNNNNNNNNNNNNNNNNNNNNNNNNNNNNNNNNNNNNNNNNNNNNNNNNNNNNNNNNNNNNNNNNNNNNNNNNNNNNNNNNNNNNNNNNNNNNNNNNNNNNNNNNNNNNNNNNNNNNNNNNNNNNNNNNNNNNNNNNNNNNNNNNNNNNNNNNNNNNNNNNNNNNNNNNNNNNNNNNNNNNNNNNNNNNNNNNNNNNNNNNNNNNNNNNNNNNNNNNNNNNNNNNNNNNNNNNNNNNNNNNNNNNNNNNNNNNNNNNNNNNNNNNNNNNNNNNNNNNNNNNNNNNNNNNNNNNNNNNNNNNNNNNNNNNNNNNNNNNNNNNNNNNNNNNNNNNNNNNNNNNNNNNNNNNNNNNNNNNNNNNNNNNNNNNNNNNNNNNNNNNNNNNNNNNNNNNNNNNNNNNNNNNNNNNNNNNNNNNNNNNNNNNNNNNNNNNNNNNNNNNNNNNNNNNNNNNNNNNNNNNNNNNNNNNNNNNNNNNNNNNNNNNNNNNNNNNNNNNNNNNNGACCUAAAAAUUAGAAGUCAUUCCAUCUUUAUUCCCCUAGAGCCUUCCAGCAGUUCCUAAACUGCUCAAGUCGGAGCAUGUUAUCAUUCUUGUUAGUUCUGAGUGAAUUCCCUCCGUAUGAUAAUUCUUUCAUCAGUUUGUUCCCUGUUUCUUCUCUAGCCUGAGCCUGACACACUAUUCUAGCUAGACAUGGGUGUGGCUCGUAACACCUGAUGACCAUACGGAUCUACGGCACCAUCGAAUCUCAAACUUUAACUACCAAAACUAUUCUUUUUCAUCCUGUAGUCCCUUUUAGAAUUACUAAACGUCCUUUUUUGGGCCGAGAUUUCCAGGAACGCUUUCUCGUGGUUUGUGUGCAAGUAUUUCAAACCAUACAGACCUAAAAAUUAGAAGUCAUUCCAUCUUUAUGCCCGUACAGCCUUCCAGCAGUUCCUAAACCGCUCCAGUCGGUGCACAUUAUCAUUCUUAUUAGUUCUGAGUGAAUUCCCUCGAUAUGAUAAUUCUUUCAUUAGUUUGUUCCCCGUUUCUUCUCUAGCCUGAGCCUGGCACACUAUUCUAGCUAGACAUGGGUGUGGCUCAUAACACCUGUUGACUAAAUGGAUCGACGGCACCAUCGAAUCUCAAACUUUUACUGCCAAAACUAUUGUUUUUCAUCCUGUAGUCCCAUUUAGAAUUACUAAACGUCCUUUUUUUGGGCCGAGAUUUAGAGGAACGCUUUCUCGGGGUUUGUGUGCAAGUAUUUCAAACCAUACGGACCUAAAAAUUAGAAGUCAUUCCAUCUUUAUUCCCCUAGAGCCUUCCAGCAGUUCCUAAACCGCUCUAGUCGGGGCACGUUAUCAUUCUUGUUAGUUAUGAGUGAAUUCCCUCGGUAUGAUAAUUCUUUCAUCAGUUUGUUCCCUGUUUUUUCUCUAGCCUGAGCCUGACACACUAUUCUAGCUAGACAUGGGUGUGGCUCGUAACACCUGAUGACCAAACGGAUCUACGGCACCAUCGAAUCUCAAACUUUAACUACCAAAACUAUUCUUUUUCAUCCUGUAGUCCCUUUUAGAAUUACUAAACGUCCUUUUUUGGGCCGAGAUUUCCAGGAACGCUUUCUCGGGGUUUGUGUGCAAGUAUUUCAAACCAUACGAACCUAAAAAUUAGAAGUCAUUCCAUCUUUAUUCCCCUAGAGCCUUCCAGCAGUUCCUAAACCGCUCUAGUCGGAGCACGUUAUCAUUCUUGUUAGUUCUGAGUGAAUUCCCUCGGUAUGAUAAUUCUUUCAUCAGUUUGUUCCCCAUUUCUUCUCUAGCCUGAGCCUGACACACUAUUCUAGCUAGACAUGGGUGUGGCUCGUAACACCUGAUGACCAAACGGAUCGACGACACCAUCGAAUCUCAAACUUUAACUGCCAAAACUAUUGUUUUUCAUCCUGUAGUCCCAUUUAGAAUUAUUAAACGUCCUUUUUUGGGCCGAUAUUUAGAGUAAUGCUUUCUCUGGGUUUGUCUGCAAGUAUUUCAAACCAUACGGACCUAAAAAUUAGAAGUCAUUCCAUCUUUAUUCCCCUAGAGCCUUCCAGCAGUUCCUAAACCGCUCUAGUCGGAGCACGUUAUCAUUCUUGUUAGUUCUGAGUGAAUUCCCUCGGUAUGAUAAUUCUUUCAUCNNNNNNNNNNNNNNNNNNNNNNNNNNNNNNNNNNNNNNNNNNNNNNNNNNNNNNNNNNNNNNNNNNNNNNNNNNNNNNNNNNNNNNNNNNNNNNNNNNNNNNNNNNNNNNNNNNNNNNNNNNNNNNNNNNNNNNNNNNNNNNNNNNNNNNNNNNNNNNNNNNNNNNNNNNNNNNNNNNNNNNNNNNNNNNNNNNNNNNNNNNNNNNNNNNNNNNNNNNNNNNNNNNNNNNNNNNNNNNNNNNNNNNNNNNNNNNNNNNNNNNNNNNNNNNNNNNNNNNNNNNNNNNNNNNNNNNNNNNNNNNNNNNNNNNNNNNNNNNNNNNNNNNNNNNNNNNNNNNNNNNNNNNNNNNNNNNNNNNNNNNNNNNNNNNNNNNNNNNNNNNNNNNNNNNNNNNNNNNNNNNNNNNNNNNNNNNNNNNNNNNNNNNNNNNNNNNNNNNNNNNNNNNNNNNNNNNNNNNNNNNNNNNNNNNNNNNNNNNNNNNNNNNNNNNNNNNNNNNNNNNNNNNNNNNNNNNNNNNNNNNNNNNNNNNNNNNNNNNNNNNNNNNNNNNNNNNNNNNNNNNNNNNNNNNNNNNNNNNNNNNNNNNNNNNNNNNNNNNNNNNNNNNNNNNNNNNNNNNNNNNNNNNNNNNNNNNNNNNNNNNNNNNNNNNNNNNNNNNNNNNNNNNNNNNNNNNNNNNNNNNNNNNNNNNNNNNNNNNNNNNNNNNNNNNNAUGUCCUUUUUUGGGCCGAGAUUUCCAGGAACGCUUUCUCAGGGUUUGUGUGCAAGUAAUUCAAACCAUACGGACCUAAAAAUUAGAAGUCAUUCCAUCUUUAUUCCCCUAGAGCCUUCCAGCAGUUCCUAAACCGCUCAAGUCAGUGCACGUUAUCAUUCUUGUUAGUUCUAAGUGAAUUCCCUCGGUAUGAUAAUUUGUUCAUCAGUUUGUUCCCCGUUUCUUCUCUAGCCUGAGCCUGACACACUAUUCUAGCUAGACAUGGGUGUGGCUCGUAACACCUGAUGACCAAACGGAUCUACGACACCAUCGAAUCUCAAACUUUAACUACCAAAACUAUUGUUUUUCAUCCUCUAGUCCCUUUUAGAAUUACUAAACGUCCUUUUUUGGGCCGAGAUUUCCAGGAACGCUUUCUCGGGGUUUGUGUGCAUGUAUUUCAAACCAUACAGACCUAAAAAUUAGAAGUCAUUCCAUCUUUAUUCCCGUAGAGCCUUCCAGCAGUUCCUAAACCGCUCCAGUCGGAGCAUGUUAUCAUUCUUGUUUGUUCUGAGUGAAUUCCCUCGGUAUGAUAAUUCUAUCAUCAGUUUGUUCCCCGUUUCUUCUCUAGCCUGAGCCUGGCAAACUAUUCNNNNNNNNNNNNNNNNNNNNNNNNNNNNNNNNNNNNNNNNNNNNNNNNNNNNNNNNNNNNNNNNNNNNNNNNNNNNNNNNNNNNNNNNNNNNNNNNNNNNNNNNNNNNNNNNNNNNNNNNNNNNNNNNNNNNNNNNCUAAACCGCUCUAGUCGGAGCACGUUAUCAUUCUUGUUAGUUCUGAGUGAAUUCCCUCGGUAUGAUAAUUCUUUCAUCAGUUUGUUCCCUGUUUCUUCUCUAGCCUGAGCCUGACACACUAUUCUAGCUAGACAUGGGUGUGGCUCGUAACACCUAAUGACCAAACGGAUCGACGGCACCAUCGAAUCUCAAACUUUAACUGCCAAAACUAUUGUUUUUCAUCCUGUUGUCCCAUUUAGAAUUACUAAACGUCCUUUUUUGGGCCGAGAUUUAGAGGAACGCUUUCUCGGGGUUUGUGUGCAAGUAUUUCAAACCAUACGGACCUAAAAAUUAGAAGUCAUUCCAUCUUUAUUCCCCUAGAGCCUUCCAGCAGUUCCUAAACCGCUCAAGUCAGAGCAUGUUAUCAUUCUUGUUAGUUCUGAGUGAAUUCCCUCGGUAUGAUAAUUCUUUCAUCAGUUUGUUCCCUGUUUCUUCUCUAGCCUGAGCCUGACACACUAUUCUAGCUAGACAUGGGUGUGGCUCGUAACACCUGAUGACCAAACGGAUCUACGACACCAUUGAAUCUCAAACUUUAACUACCAAAACUAUUAUUUUUCAUCCUGUAGUCCCUUUUAGAAUUACUAAACGUCCUUUUUUGGGCCGAGAUUUCCAAGAACGCUUUCUCGUGGUUUGUGUGCAAGUAUUUCAAACCAUACAGACCUAAAAAUUAGAAGUCAUUCCAUCUUUAUGCCCGUAGAGCCUUCCAGCAGUUCCUAAACCGCUCCAGUCGGAGCACGUUAUCAUUCUUAUUAGUUCUGAGUGAAUUCCCUCAGUAUGAUAAUUCUUUCAUAAGUUUGUUCCCCAUUUCUUCUCUAGCCUGAGCCUGGCACACUAUUCUAGCUAGACAUGGGUGUGGCUCAUAACACUUGUUGACUAAAUGGAUCGACGGCACCAUCGAAUCUCAAACUUUAACUGCCAAAACUAUUGUUUUUCAUCCUGUAGUCCCAUUUAGAAUUAUUAAACGUCCUUUUUUGGGCCGAUAUUUAGAGUAAUGCUUUCUCGGGGUUUGUCUGCAAGUAUUUCAAACCAUACGGACCUAAAAAUUAGAAGUCAUUCCAUCUUUAUUCCCCUAGAGCCUUCCAGCAGUUCCUAAACCGCUCUAGUCGGAGCACGUUAUCAUUCUUGUUAGUUCUGAGUGAAUUCCCUCAGUAUGAUAAUUCUUUCAUCUGUUUGUUCCCCGUUUCUUCUCUAGCCUGAGCCUGACACACUAUUCAAGCUAGACAUGGAUGUGGCUCGUAACACCUGAUGACCAAACGGAUCUACGGCACCAUCGAAUCCCAAACUUUAACUGCCAAAACUAUUGUUUUUCAUCCUGUAGUCCCUUUUAGAAUUACUAAACGUCCUUUUUUGGGCCGAGAUUUCCAGGAAUGCUUUCUCGGGGUUUGUGUGCAAGUAUUUCAAACCAUACAAAGCUAGAAAUUAGAAGUCAUUCCAUCUUUAUUAUCGUAGAGCCUUCCAGCAGUUCCUAAACCGGUCUAGUCGGAGCACGUUAUCAUUCUAGUUAGUUCUGAGUGAAUUCCCUCGGUAUGAUAAUUCUUUCAUCAGUUUGUUCCCCGUUUCUUCUCUAGCCUGAGCCUGACAAACUAUUCUAGCUAGACAUGCGUGUGGCUCGUAACACCUGAUGACCAAACGGAUCUAUAGCACCAUCGAAUCUCAAACUUUAACUGCCAAAACUAUUGUUUUCAUCCUGUAGUCCCUUUUAGAAUUACUAAACUUCCUUUUUUGGGCCGAGAUUUAGAGGAACGCUUUCUGGGGUUUGUGUGCAAGUAUUUCAAACCAUACAGACCUAAAAAUUAGAAGUCAUUCCAUCUUUAUUCCCCUAGAGCCUUCCAGCAGUUCCUAAACCGCUCUAGUCGGAGCACGUUAUCAUUAUUGUUAGUUCUGAGUGAAUUCCCUCGGUAUGAUAAUUCUUUCAUCAGUUUGUUCCCUGUUUCUUCUCUAUCCUGAGCCUGACACACUAUUCUAGCUAGACAUGGGUGUGGCUCGUAACACCUGAUGACUAAAUGGAUCGACGGCACCAUCGAAUCUCAAACUUUAACUGCCAAAACUAUUGUUUUUCAUCCUGUAGUCCCAUUUAGAAUUAGUAAACGUCCUUUUUUGGGCCGAGAUUUAGAGGAACGCUUUCUCGGGGUUUGUGUGCAAGUAUUUCAAACCAUACGGACCUAAAAAUUAGAAGUCAUUCCAUCUUUAUUCCCCUAGUCAUCAGGUAUACACUCAAGUCGGAGCACGUUAUCAUUCUUGUUAGUUCUGAGUGAAUUCCCUCGGUAUGAUAAUUCUUUCAUAAAUUUGUUCCCCGUUUCUUAUAUGGCCUGAGCCUGACACACUAUUCUAGCUAGACAUGGGUGUGGCUCGUAACACCUGAUGACCAAACGGAUCUACGGCACCAUCAAAUCUCAAACUUUAACUGCCAAAACUAUUCUUUUUCAUUCUGUAGUCCCUUCUAGAAUUACUAAACGUCCUUUUUUGGGCCGAGAUUUCCAGGAACGCUUUCUCGGGGUUUGUGUGCAUGUAUUUCAAACCAUACAGACCUAAAAAUUAUAAGUCAUUCCAUCUUUAUUCCCGUAGAGCCUUCCAGUAGUUCCUAAACCGCUCCAGUCGGAGCAUGUUAUCAUUCUUGUUAGUUCUAAGUGAAUUCCCUCGGUAUGAUAAUUCUUUCAUCAGUUUGUUCCCCGUUUCUUCUCUAGCCUGAGCCUGGCACACUAGUCUAGCUAGACAUGGGUGUGGCUCGUAACACCCGAUGACUAAAUGGAUCGACGGCACCAUCGAAUCUCAAACUUUAACUGCCAAAACUAUUGUUUUUCAUCCUGUAGUCCCAUUUAGAAUUACUAAACGUCCUUUUUUGGGCCGAGAUUUAGAGGAACGCUUUCUCGUGGUUUGUGUGCAAGAAUUUCAAACCAUACGGACCUAAAAAUUAGAAGUCAUUCCAUCUUUAUUCCCCUAGAGCCUUCCAGUAGUUCCUAAACCGCUCUAGUCGGAGCACGUUAUCAUUCUUGUUAGUUCUGAGAGAAUUCCCUCGGUAUGAUAAUUCUUUUAUCAGUUUGUUCCCCGUUUCUUCUCUAGCCUGAGCCCGACACACUAUUCUAGCUAGACAUGGGUGUGGCUCGUAACACCUGAUGACCAAACGGAUCUACGGCACCAUCGAAUCUCAAACUUUAACUGCCAAAACUAUUGUUUUUCAUCCUGUAGUCCCUUUUAGAAUUACUAAAUGUCCUUUUUUGGGCCGAGAUUUCCAGGAACGCUUUCUCAGGGUUUGUGUGCAAGUAAUUCAAACCAUACGGACCUAAAAAUUAGAAGUCAUUCCAUCUUUAUUCCCCUAGAGCCUUCCAGCAGUUCCUAAACCGCUCAAGUCAGUGCACGUUAUCAUUCUUGUUAGUUCUAAGUGAAUUCCCUCGGUAUGAUAAUUUGUUCAUCAGUUUGUUCCCCGUUUCUUCUCUAGCCUGAGCCUGACACACUAUUCUAGCUAGACAUGGGUGUGGCUCGUAACACCUGAUGACCAAACGGAUCUACGACACCAUCGAAUCUCAAACUUUAACUACCAAAACUAUUGUUUUUCAUCCUCUAGUCCCUUUUAGAAUUACUAAACGUCCUUUUUUGGGCCGAGAUUUCCAGGAACGCUUUCUCGGGGUUUGUGUGCAUGUAUUUCAAACCAUACAGACCUAAAAAUUAGAAGUCAUUCCAUCUUUAUUCCCGUAGAGCCUUCCAGCAGUUCCUAAACCGCUCCAGUCGGAGCAUGUUAUCAUUCUUGUUUGUUCUGAGUGAAUUCCCUCGGUAUGAUAAUUCUAUCAUCAGUUUGUUCCCCGUUUCUUCUCUAGCCUGAGCCUGGCAAACUAUUCUAGCUAGACAUGGGUGUGGCUCGUAACACCUGAUGACCAAACGGAUCUACGACACCAUCGAAUCUCAAACUUUAACUACCAAAACUAUUGUUUUUCAUUCUAUAGUCCCUUCUAGAAUUUCUAAACGUCCUUUUUUGGGCCGAGAUUUCCAGGAAUGCUUUCUCGGGGUUUGUGUGCAAGUAUUUCAAAUCAUACGGACCUAAAAAUUAGAAGUCAUUCCAUCUUUAUUCCCCUAGAGCCUUCCAGUAGUUCCUAAACCGCUCCAGUCGGAGCACGUUAUCAUUCUUGUUAGUUCAUAGUGAAUUCCCUCGGUAUGAUAAUUCUUUCAUCAGUUUGUUCCCCGUUUCUUCUCUAGCCUGAGCCUGGCACAGUAUUCUAGCUAGACAUGGGUGUGGUCGUAACACCUGAUGACUAAAUGGAUCGACGGCACCAUCGAAUCUCAAACUUUAACUGCCAAAACUAUUGUUUUUCAUCCUGUAAUCCCAUUUAGAAUUACUAAACGUCCUUUUUUGGGCCGAGAUUUAGAGGAACGCUUUGUUGGGGUUUGUGUGCAAGUAUUUCAAACCAUACGGACCUAAAAAUUAGAACUCAUUCCAUAUUUAUUCCCCUUGAGCCUUCCAGCAGUUCCUAAACCGCUCUAGUCGGAGCACGUUAUCAUUCUUGUUAGUUCUAAGAGAAUUCCCUCGGUAUGAUAAUUCUUUUAUCAGUUUGUUCCCCGUUUCUUCUCUAGACUGGGCCCGACACACUAUUCUAGCUAGACAUGGGUGUGGCUCGUAACACCUGAUGACCAAACGGAUCUACGGCACCAUCGAAUCUCAAACUUCAACUGCCAAAACUAUUGUUUUUCAUCCUGUAGUCCCUUUUAGAAUUACUAAACGUCCUUUUUUGGGCCGAGAUUUCCAGGAACGCUUUCUCGGGGUUUGUGUGCAAGUAUUUCAAACCAUACGGACCUAAAAAUUAGAAGUCAUUCCAUCUUUAUUCCCGUAGAGCCAUCCAGCAGUUCCUAAACCGCUCCAGUCGGAGCACGUUAUCAUUCUUGUUAGUUCUGAGUGAAUUCCCUCGGUAUGAUAAUUCUUUCAUCAGUUUGUUCCCCGUUUCUUCUCUAGCCUGAGCCUGACAAACUAUUAUAGCUAGACAUGGGUGUGGCUCGUAACACCUGAUGACCAAACGGAUCUAUGGCACCAUCGAAUCUCAAACUUUAACUGCCAAAACUAUUGUUUUUCAUCCUGUAGUCCCUUUUAGAAUUACUAAACGCCCUUCUUUGGGACGAGAUUUCCAGGAACGCUUUCUCGGGGUUUGUGUGAAAGUAAUUCAAACCAUACGGACCUAAAAAUUAGAAGUCAUUCCAUCUUUAUUCCCGUGGAGCCUUCCAGUAGUUCCUAAACCGCUCCAGUCGGAGCACGUUAUCAUUCUUGUUAGUUCUGAGUGAAUUCCCUCGGUAUGAUAAUUCUUUCAUCAGUUUGUUCCCUGUUUCUUCUCUAGCCUGAGCCUGGCACACUAUUCUAGCUAGACAUGGGUGUGGCUCGUAACACCUGAUGACUAAACUGAUCAAUGACACCAUCGAAUCUCAAACUUUAACUGCCAAAACUAUUGUUUUUCAUCCUGUAGUCCCAUUUAGAAUUACUAAACGUCCUUUUUUGGGCCGAGAUUUCCAGGAACGCUUACUCGGGGUUUGUGUGCAAGUAUUUCAAACCAUACUGACCUAAAAAUUAGAAGUCAAUCCAUCUUUAUUCCCCUAGAGCCUUCCAGCAGUUCCUAAACCGCUCCAGUCGGAGCACGUUAUCAUUCUUGUUAGUUCUGAGUGAAUUCCCUCGGUAUGAUAAUUCUUUCAUCAGUUUGUUCCUUGUUUCUUCUCUAGCCUGAACCUGACACACUAUUCUAGCUAGACAUGGGUGUGGCUCGUAACACCUGAUGACCAAACGGAUCUACGGCACCAUCGAAUCUCAAACUUUAACUGCCAAAACUAUUAUUUUUAAUCCUCUAGUCCCAUUUAGAAUUACUAAACGUCCUUUUUUGGGCCGAGAUUUAGAGGAACGCUUUCAUGCGGUUUGUGUGCAAGUAUUUCAAACCAUACGGACCUAAAAAUUAGAAGUCAUUCCAUCUUUAUUCCCCUAGAGCCUUCCAGCAGUUCCUAAACCGCUCCAGUCGGAGCAUGUUAUCAUUCUUGUUAGUUCUGAGUGAAUUCCCUCGGUAUGAUAAUUCUUUCAUCAGUUUGUGGCCCGUUUCUUCUCUAGCCUGAGCCUGACACACUAUUCUAGCUAGACGUGGGUGUGGCUCGUAACACCUGAUGACCAAACGGAUCUACGGCACCAUCGAAUCUCAAACUUUAAGUGCCAAAACUAUUAUUUUUAAUCCUGUAGUCCCAUUUAGAAUUACAAAAAUGUCCUUUUUUGGGCUGAGAUUUCCAGGAACGCUUUCGUGCGGUUUGUGUGCAAGUAUUUCAAACCAUACAGACCAAAAAAUUAGAAGUCAUUCCAUCUUUAUUCCCUUAGAGCCUUCCAGCAGUUCCUAAACCGCUCAAGUCGGAGCAUGUUAUCAUUCUUGUUAGUUCUGAGUGAAUUCCCUCGGUAUGAUAAUUCUUUCAUCAGUUUGUUCCCCGUUUCUUCUCUAGCCCGAGCCUGACAAACUAUUAUAGCUAGACAUGGGUGUGGCUCGUAACACCUGAUGACCAAACGGAUCGACGACACCAUCGAAUCUCAAACAUUAACUGCCAAAACUACACCUCAUUGACACGUCUGUUGAAAAACAGAGAUCGCGCCCACUUAAUACGGGAUUUAGUAUCAAUGAUAUCUGGGUAAUCCAACCGACAGCAGCGCAUACCCACAUCAGGAACAGACGAUGUUUUAAGGCUAGGGAGGCAGGCGCUUGGUAUUCACUUCUUAUAUAAACGAAGUAAGAUUUAUCUUUUCCAUCCCACGCCUUCUUCCUUUUUCCGCCUCCCCAUCUCCUAGCUCUAGUGCCCGAGCCUCGAAACUUCCCACCACCACCAGCCUCCCCAGUCACGUUCGGAUCUGGCCUUCAAGGAAAGUGGGCCGCCUCCUCCGGGAGGGAGAAGGAUGUCAAGGAGCUCCAGGAUGCGGGGUACCUGAGUGCGGAAAUCACGUACAGGAUCCUAGCUAAGAAGCAAGUCAUCCCCACCCUAGAGCCCGGUGAGAGGGUGGUAUUUAUCCCCUACUUCCUCCGUGGACUAGGGUUUCCACUUCACCCUUUUGUCCGCGGCAUCAUGUUCUAUUACAGGCUAGAUUUCCAUGAUCUAGCCCCAAACUCAUUCCUCCACAUCUGGGCGUUUAUCGUUGAGUGCGUGGCGCUUCUCCGCAUCCCCCCCCCGGCACUUCGGUCUCUGGCUCAAAUUCUUCAACAUGAAGCCAAAGGUGGUGGAUGGGGAGCAUGCAGACUGCGGAGGCGCAAUGGUGAGCAAGCUUCCCAACAUCACCUGGCCCAAAGGGGCUUUUUGUGGAGACUGUAAAAAUAUGGCAGCAGGAGUGGUUCUACAUCACCGAACCUCGCGGCGCCAACUGGGCGGCCACUCCUGAAUUCAGAUCCGGACCCCCAAUGUGGCUAGCGUCGUGGAUCAACAAGGGCUUGGACUGGGGGUUAGCGAACGAGGAGACGAUGCUGCAAAAGCGCAUCAAAAACAUCAUAAAGAGGGACACCGACCUCCCCGACGUGGUUCAUGUGAUGCUAUUCCGCCGGAUCCUUCCCUGCUAGCACCGGCAUCUCCACAUGUGGGAGUUUAAUCCGGAAGGGCCACGAACCCUGCUUCAAUUCUCCGGCACAAUGCACGAAGAAAUCUGGAGGCUGCUUUUCAAGGCCCAGAAGAAGAAAUCGUGACCGGAGAUUGUCGACGACAUCGGCCUCGACUGCGCUCACCCAGCCACUCCGAUAAGUUUUUAUUUUCCGAACAUAACUUAAUCUGAACAUCGCAGGGGUGUAUUGGGAUUCUCACAUUUGUAACAGGGUUGGACGAAGAAGGCGGAGCGGAUUAAAGGUCUCGCUCCAUUGCCCGAAAGUCCCCCUGAUCCUCUACUGAUGAGGAUGUUGGUUCCGGCACCGUACCAGGCACCGGAAAAGAACACCAAGAAGAAGUUCAAGGAGGCCAAAGAUGACUCCCGCCGAAAAGGUCCCUCCGACACUAUGUCCGGGGAGUCCGAAGCCCUCUCCUCCCGCGAGGGUGAUGAAGAAGAGAAGGAGGAGGAGCAGGAAGAGAACAACUCUCCCCUUAAGGGGAGGAGGAAGAAAAGAGUGGCUUCCGCAGACCCAGAGACGGAGGCGUCCAAAAGGGGGAGAGCAUCUCUCUCGGAUGACUCGGAUUCGGCUGCCGAAGUCAUCCCCGAGCAUCGCCCUAGGUCCCCCAGCCGAAUCAUGACUGUCUCAAGAUGCCUUACAUACAUCGGCUUUUACAAUUAUCGUUUUUAACAUAUUGCAUUGUGUGUUUCAGCCCGGCCCGCGAUCUCCCUCAAACAUCGUCUCCGGGAAAUUCGUUGGAGCCAGGGGCGCUGGAGCGCAAGACGCCUCCGCGGGCUUUCCCGCUUAGCGCUCCGGACGACACCGAAGUUGUGCCCCGAAGAGCCUUUCUAGGCCACAGAGAGGUGCCGAAGUCCAUGGAAACCGAGGACGGGGUCCAUGACUGAUGACCCAUAAGUGUAGGGGAUCUAUCGUAGUCCUUUUGAUAAGUAAGAGUGUCGAACCCAACGAGGAGCAUAAGGAAUUGACAAGCGGUUUUCAGUAUGGUAUUCUCUACAAGCACUAAAAUUAUCGAUAACAGAUAGUUUUGUGAUAAGGUAAUUUUUAAUGAGUAACAAGCAAUGAAAGUAAAUAAGGUGCAGCAAGGUGGCCCAAUCCUUUUUGUAGCAAAGGACAAGCCUAGACAAGUUCUUAUAUAGAGAAAAGCGCUCCCGAGGACACAUGGGAAUUAUCGUCAAGCUAGUUUUCAUCACACUCAUAUGAUUCGCGUUCCUUACUUUGAUAAUUUGAUAUGUGGGUGGACCGGUGUUUGGGUACUGCCCUUUCUUGGACAAGCAUCCCACUUAUGAUUAACCCCUAUUCCAAACAUCCAAAACUACAAAAGAAGUAUUAAGUUAACCUAACCAUAGUGCUACGUCUUGAGCUUGCGUUGGUUUUCCUUGAAGAGGAAGGGGUGAUGCAGCAAUAGUAGCGUAAGUAUUUCCCUCAGUUUUUGAGACCCAAGGUAUCAAUCCAGUAGGAGGCUCCUCAAAAGUCCCACGCACCUACACAAACAAACAAAGAACUCAGCAACCAACGCAAUAAAGGGGUUGUCAAUCCCUUCAUGGCCACUUGCGAAAGUGAGAUCUAAUAAAGAUAAAUAAGAUAAGAUAAAUAUAUUUUUGGUAUUUUAUAAUAUAGAUGCAAAAAGUAAAGAUGCAAAUAAAAAUAGAUUGGAAGCAAAUAUGAUAAGAGAUAGACCCGGGGGCCAUAGGUUUCACUAGUGGCUUCUCUCAAGAUAGCAUAAGUAUUACGGUGGGUGAAUAAAUUACAGUCGAGCAAUUGAUAGAAAAGCGAAUAAUUAUGAGAUUAUCUAGGCAUGAUCAUGUAUAUUGGCAUCACGUUCGCAACAAGUAGACUGACUCCUGCCUGCAUCUACUACUAUUACUCCACACAUCGACCGACUCCUACCUGCAUCUACUACUAUUACUCCACACAUCGACCGACUCCUGCCUGCAUCUAGAGUAUUAAGUUCAUAAGAACAGAGUAACGCAUUAAGCAAGAUGACAUGAUGUAGAGGGAUAAACUCAAGCAAUAUGAUAUAAACCCCAUCUUGUUAUCUUCGAUGGCAACAAUACAAUACGUGCCUUGCAACCCUUUCUGUCACUCGGUAAGGACACCGCAAGAUUGAACUCAAAGCUAAGCACUUCUCCCAUGGCAAGAAAGAUCAAUCUAGUAGGCCAAACCAAACUGAUAAUUCGAAGAGACUUGCAAAGAUAACUCAAUCAUACAUAAAAGAAUUCAGAGAAGAUUCAAAUAUUAUCCAUAGAUAAACUUGAUCAUAAACCCACAAUUCAUCGGAUCUCGACAAACACACCGCAAAAAGAAUUUACAUCGAAUAGAUCUCCACAAGAGAGGGGGAGAAUAUUGUAUUGAGAUCCAAAAAGAGAGAAGAAGCCAUCUAGCUAAUAACUAUGGACCCGUAGGUCUAUGGUAAACUACUCACAACUCAUAGGAGGGGCUAUGGUGUUGAUGUAGAAGCCCUCCGUGGUCGAUUCCCCCUCCGGCAGAGUGCCGACGAAGGCUCCAAGAUGGGAUCUCGCGGAAACAGAAGGUUACGGUGGUGUAAAUUGUGUUUCGUUCGCUCCCUGGAUGUUUUCGGGGUACAUAGGUAUAUAUAGGAGGAUGAAGUACGUCAGUGGACGCCCGAGGGGCCCACGAGACAGGGGGCGCGCCCUAUAGGGGGGGCGCCCUCCUAUCUCGUGGAGGCCUCGGCUGCUUCUUGACUUGCACUCCAAGUCCUGUGCAUCACAUUCGUUCCAAUAAUCACGCUCCCGAAGGUUUCAUUCCGUUUGGAAUCCGUUUGAUAUUCCUUUUCUUUUAAAUACUGAAAUAGGCAAAAAAACAGCAAUACGGGAUGGGCCUCUGAUUAGUAGGUUAGUCCCAAAAAUGAUAUAGAUGUGUAAAAUAAAGCCCAUAAACAUCCAGAAGGGGUAAUAUAAUAGCAUGGAACAAUCAAAAAUUAUAGAUACAUUGGAGACAUAUCACAUAGCAUGAAACAUGUGGAUCCAAAUCAGCCCCUUACGAAGCAACACAUAAACUAGGGUUUAAGCUUCUGUCACUCUAGCAACCCAUCAUCUACUUAUUAACUCCCAAUGCGUUCCUCAAGGUCCAAACAAUGGUGAAGUGUCAUGUAGUCGACGUUCACAUAACACCACUAGAGGAGAGACAACAUACAUCUCAUCAAAAUAUUGAACGAAUACCAAAUUUACAUGACUACUAAUAGCAAGACUUCCCCCAUGUCCUCUGGAACAAACGUAACUACUCACAAAGCAUAUUCAUAUUCAUAAUCAGAGGUGUACUAAUAUGCAUUAAGGAUCUGAACAUAUGAUCUUGCACCAAAUAAACCAACUAGCAUCAACUACAAGGAGUAAUCAACACUACUAGCAACCCACAGGUACCAAUCUAAGGUUUUGGUAUAAAGAUUGGAUACAAGAGAUGAACUAGGGUUUGAGAGGAGAUGGUGCUGGUGAAGAUAUUGAUGGAGAUUGACCCCCUCCCCGAUGAGAGGAUCGUUGGUGAUGACGAUGGUGAUGAUUUCCCCCUCCCGGAGGUAAAUUUCCCCGGCAGAACAGCUCCGCCGAAGCCCUAGAUUGGUUUCGCCAAGGUUCCGCCUCAUGGUAGCGGAGUUUCAUCCCGUAAGCUUGCUUAUGUUUUUUCCAUGGUAAAAAGCCUUCAAAUAGUAGAAGAUGGCCACCGAAGGGCUGCCAGGGGGCCCACAAGGUAGGGGGCGCCUAGGGGGGUAGGGCGCGCCCCCACCCUCGUGGAUGGUGGGUGGCCCCCCUCAGGUAUUUCUUCCUCUCAAUAUUUUUUAUUAAUUACCAAAAUGACUUUCAUGGAGUUUCAGGACUUUUGGAGCUGUGCAGAAUAAGUCUCUAUUAUUUGCUCCUUUUCGAGCCCAGAAUCCCAGCUGCCGGCAUUCUCCCUCUUUAUGUAAAACUUGUAAAAUAAGAGAGAAUAGGCAUAAGUAUUGUGACAUAACGUGUAAUAACAGCCCAUAAUGCACUAAAUAUCGAUAUAAAAGCAUGAUGCAAAAUGGACGUAUCAGUGACCAAUCUGUCCCCUAGCCGCACACUAUUUCGGAAACCCAUACAGGUCCGGAAUCCAACAAGCAACCCCCUUUGAAGGAGGGAAGAGCGUCAACUCCACCGGUGACCUCCAUGAAUCUGGAAGCGCCAGAUAAUUUGACGGAAGUGCUUCAUCAUGCUUCCAUCAUGGAGGAGAACCGCACCCUUAUGGGUGUGGUGGCUGAGAAGAUUCAGUCCGCCAAAAGCAGGUAGAACGAAGCCUUUACUAGCCUGUUAACAGGCAUUGAGGUAUGUGAUGUAAUUUUCUAACUGAUUCCAAUAAAGAGAUACACCUGUGUGUAGAAAGUAGCCCCUGAGACUCUGCCCGGUUUCAAAGGAGCCAGACAGAGGAUCACAUAAUAUUCGGCAAAGGUAACAUUCUAUUAUACAACAGGCUUCCCUGCUGCCGGCGAGCGCCCAGUCGGCCGACGUUUCCGAACUCACUCAGAAGCUGUGGCUGGUUGAUGAAGAAGUUGUCCGCAUUAAUAGCGGUUGGAGGAGACACAAGGUAUGCGUACAUUGAGUAUAAGCCCCUGAUGUCUACUACACAACCUUCUUCUUGUAGACGUUGUUGGUCCUCCAAGUGCAGAUGUUUGUAGGACAGUAGAAAAUUUCCCUCAAGUGGAUGACCUAAGGUUUAUCAAUCCAUGGGAGGCGUAGGAUGAAGAUGGUCUCUCUCAAACAACCCUGUAACCAAAUAACAAAGAGUCUCUUGUGUCCCCAACACACCCAAUACAAUGGUAAAUUGUAUAGGUGCACUAGUUCGGCGAAGAGAUGGUGAUACAAGUGCAAUAUGAAUGGUAGAUAUAGGUUUUUGUAAUCUGAAAAUAUAAAAACAGCAAGGUAACUAAUGAUAAAAGUGAGCGAAAAUGGUAUUGCAAUGCUUCGAAACAAGGCCUAGGGUUCAUACUUUCACUAGUGCAAGUUCUCUCAACAAUAAUAACAUCAUUAGAUCAUAUAACAAUCCCUCACCAGGCAACAAAGAGUCACUCAAGAGUCACUAAUAGUGGAGAACAAACGAAGAGAUUAUUGUAGGGUAAGAAACCACCUCAAAGUUAUUCUUUCCGAUCAAUCCAUUGGGCUAUUCCUAUAAGUGUCACAAACAGCCCUAGAGUUCGUAGUAAAAUAACACCUUAAGACACAAAUCAACCAAAACCCUAAAGUCAUCUAGAUACUCCAAGGUCACCUAGAGUAUCCGUGGGUAUGAUUAUACGAUAUGCAUCACACAAUCUCAGAUUCAUCUAUUCAACCAACACAAAGAACUUCAAAGAGUUCCCCAAAGUUUCUACUGGACAGUCAAGACGAAAACGUGUGCCAACCCCUAUGCAUAGAUUCCCAAGGUCACGGAACCCGCAAGUUGAUCACCAAAACAUACAUCAAGUGGAUCAAUAGAAUACCCCAUUGUCACCACGGGUAUCCCACACAAGACAUACAUCAAGUGUUCUCAAAUCCUUAAAGACUCAAUCUGAUAAGAUAACUUCAAAGGGAAAACUCAAUCCAUUACAAGAGAGUAGAGGGGGAGAAACAUCAUAAGAUCCAACUAUAAUAGCAAAGCUCGCGGUACAUCAAGAUUGUGCCAAAUCAAGAACGAGAGAGAGAGAGAGAGAGAGAGAGAGAGAGCGAUCAAACACAUAUCUACUGGUACAUACCCUCAGCCCCGAGGGUGAAGUACUCGCUCCUCGUCAUGGAGAGCGCUGGGAUGAUGAAGAUGGCCACCGGUGAUGGAUCCCCCCUCCGGCAGGGUGCAGGAACAGGGUCCCGAUUGGUUUUUGGUGGCACAGAGGCUUGCGGCAGCGGAACUCCCGAUCUAGGUUGUUUUAUGGAGGUUUGGGGAUUUCUAGGAGAGGUUGGCAUCGAGAACAAGUCAAGGGGGCCCACGGAGAGUCCACGAGGCACAGGGGCGCACCCCAGGGGGGUGGACCGGCCCUCCACCCUCGUGGGUCCCACGGGACUCCCCUCCCGUAACUUUUCAUUCCAAUAUUUUUUAUAUUUACAAAAAAAAUGUCCGUUGAUUUUCAGCGCAUUCCGAGAACUUCUAUUUCUGCACAAAAACAAGACCAGGGUAGUUCUGCUGAAAACAGCGGCUGUUCGGGUUAGUUCUAACCAAAUCAUACCAAAAGCAUGUAAAAAUAUUAUAAACAUGGCAUGAAUACCUCAAAAAUUAUAGAUAUGUUGGAGACGUAUCAACAUCCCCAAGCUUAAUUCCUGCUCGUCCUCGAGUAGGUAAAUGAUAAAACUAGAAUUUUUGAUUUGGAAUGCUACCUAACAUAUUUAUCAAUGUAAUCUUCUUUAUUGUGGUAAGAAUAUUCCUAUCCAUAGAUUCAAAACAAAAGUUUAAUAUUGACAUAAAAACAAUAAUACUUCAAGCAUACUAAUAAACCAAUCAUGUCUUCUGAAAAUAACAUGGCCAAAGAAAGUUAUCCCUACAAAAUCAUAUAGUCUGGCUACGCUCCAUCUUCAUCACACAAAAUAUUUAAAUCAUGCACAACCCCAGUUUCAGCCAAGCAAUUGUUUCAUACUUUAGUAUUUUCAAACUUUUUCAACUUUCACGCAAUACAUGAGCGUGAACCAUGGACGUAGCACUAUAGGUGGAAUAGAAUGGUGGUUGUGGAGAAGACAAAAAGGAGAAGAUAGUCUCAGAUCGACUAGGCGUAUCAAUGGGCUAUGGAGAUGCCCAUCAAUAGAUAUCAAUGUGAGUGAGUAGGGACUACCAUGCAACGGAUGCACUAGAGCUAUAAGUGUAUGAAAGCUCAAAAAGAAACUAAGUGGGUGUGCAAACAACUUGCUUGCUCACAAACCUAGGGCAAUUUGAGGAAGCCCAUCAUUGGAAUAUACAAGCCAAGUUCUAUAAUGAAAAAUUCCCACUAGUAUAUGAAAGUUACAACAUAGGAGACUCUCUAUCAUGAAUAUCAUGGUGCUACUUUGAAGCACAAGUGUGGUAAAAGGAUAGUUACAUUGCCCCUUCUCUCUUUUUCUCUCAUUUUUUUUUUGUUUUUUUGGGCCCUCUUUUUUUUCUGGCCUCUUUAUUUAUUUAUUUUUUAUUUUUCAUCCGGAGUCUCAUCCCGACUUGUGGGGGAAUCAUGGUCUCCAUCAUCCUUUCCUCACUGGGACAAUGCACUAAUAAUGAAGAACAUCACACUUUUAUUUACUAACAACUUAAGAAUUAAAACUUGAUACUUAGAACAAAAUAUGACUCUAUAUGAAUGACUCCGGCGGUGUACCGGGAUGUGCAAUAAUUCAAGAGUGACAUGUAUGAAAGAAUUAUGAACAGUGGCUUUGCCACAAAUACGAUGUCAACUACAUGAUCAUGCGAAGCAAUAUGAAAAUUGUGAAGCGUGUCAUAACAAACGGAACGGUGGAAAGUUGCAUGGCAAUAUAUCUCGGAAUGGCUAUGGAAAUGCCAUAAUAGGUUGGUAUGGUGGCUAUUUUGAGGAAGGUAUAAGGUGGGUGUAUGGUACCGGCGAAAGUUGCGCGGCAUAAGAGGGGCUAGCAAUGGUGGAAGGGUGAGAGUGCGUAUAAUCCAAUCCAUGGACUCAACAUUAAUCACAACUAACUUACAUACUUAUUGCAAAAAUCUAUUAGUCAUCAAAAAAAGUACUACACACAUGCUCCUAGGGGAAGGGUUGGUAGGAGUUAACCAUCGCGCGAUCCCGACUCCACUCAUAAGGAAGACAAUCAAUAAAUAAAUCAUGAUCCAACUUCAUCACAUAAUGGUUCACCAUACGUGCAUGCUACGGGAAUCACAAACUUUAACACAAGUAUCUCUCAAAUUCGCAACUACUCCACUAGCAUGACUCUAAUAUCAUCAUCUUCAUAUCUCAAAACAAUUAUAAAGAAUCAAACUUCUCAUGGUAUUCAAUGCACUUUAUAUGAAAGUUUUUAUUAUAUCCCUCUUGGAUGCCCAUCAUAUUAGGACUAAAUUUAUAACCCAAGCAAAUUACCAUGCUGUUCUAAAGACUCUCAAAAUAAUACAAGUGAAGCAUGAGAGUUCAUCUAUUUCUUCCAGAUAAAACCACUAUCGUUCUCUAAAAAGAUAUAAGUGAAGCACCAGAGCAAACGACAAAGUACUCCAAAAGAUAUAAGUGAAGAUCAAUGAGUAGUCGAAUAAUUAUGUAACUAUGUGAAGACUCUCUAACAUUUAAGAAUUUCAGAUCUUAUGUACUUUAUUCAAACAUCAAGCAAAACAAAAUAAAACAAAAUGACGCUCCAAGCAAAACACAUAUCAUGUGGUGAAUAAAAAUAUAGCUCCAAGUAAAGUUACUGAUGAACAAAGAUGAAAGAGGGGAUGCCAUCCGGGGCAUCCCCAAGCUUAGGCUCUUGAUUGUCCUUAAAUAUUACCUUGGGGGUGCCUUGGGAAUCUCCAAGCUUAGGCUCUUGCCACUCCUUAUUCCAUAGUUCAUUGAAUCUUUACCCAAAACUUGAAAACUUCACAACACAAAACUCAACAGAAAACUCGUAAGCUCCGUUAGUAUAAGAAAAUAAAAUCACCACUUAGGUACUAUUGUGAACUCAUUAUAAAUUCAUAUUGGUGUUAUAUCUACUAUAUUUAACUUCUCUAUGGUUCAUACCCUCCGAUACUACUCAUAGAUUCAUCAAAAUAAGCAAAAAAACACAUAGAAAACAUAAUAUGUAAAAAACAGAACAGUCUAUAGUAAUCUGUAACUAUCAAAUACUUCUGUAAAUCCAAAAAUUCUGAAAUAAAUUGGUGGACGUUUGGAAUUUUUCUAUUAAUGUUCUGAAAAAAUAAUCAACUUAAAAGCACUCUUCUGUUAAAAAUGACAAUUAUUCUCAUGAGCGCAAAGUUUAUGUUUUUUACAGCAAGAUCGCAUUAACUUUCACCCAAGUCUUCCCAAAGGUUCUACUCGGCACUUUAUUGAAACAAAAGAUAUAAAACAUGAUUAAUACAAUAGCAUAAUCAUGUGGACACACAAAAACAGUAGGGGUAAAUGUUGGGUAGUCUCCCAACAAGCGCUUUUCUUUAAUGCCUUUUUAGCUAGGCAUGAUGAUGACAAUGAUGCUCACAUAAAAGAUAAGAAUUGAAACAUAACAGGAGCAUCAUGAAGUAUAUGACUAGCAAAUUUAAGUCUAACCCACUUCCUAUGCAUAGGGAUUUUGUGAGCAAACAACUUAUGGGAACAAGAAUCAACUAGCAUAGGAAAGCAAAACAAGCAUAGCUUCACGAUUUUCAACACAUAGAGAGGAAACUUUAUAUUAUUGCAAUUCCUACAAGCAUAUGUUCCUCCUUCAUAAUAAAUUUCAGUAGCAUCAUGAAUGAAUUCAACAAUACAACUAUCACAUAAAGCACUAUUUUCAUGGUGCACAAGCAUAGAAUUUUUAUUACUCUCCACAUAAAUUUUUUGCUUCUCAUGGAUAGUAGUGGGAGCAAACUCAACAAAAUAACUAUCAUGUGAGGCAUAAUCCAAUUGAAAAUUAAAAUCAUGAUGACAAGUUUCACAGUUAUCAUUCUUCUUUAUAGCAUACAUGUCAUCACAAUAAUCACCACGGAUAGCAACUUUGUUCUCAUAAUCAAUUGGAACCUCUUCCAAAAUAGUGGAUUCAUCACUAAAUAAGGUCAUGGCCCAAAUCAACUUUCAGAAUUAUAAUCAUCAUAGAUAGGAGGCAUGCUAUCAUCAUAAUAAAUUUGCUCAUCGGAAUUUGGGGGACCGAAAAUAUUAUGUUCAUCAAACAUAGCAUCCCCAAGAUUGUAGCUUUGCAUAUCAUUAGCAUCAUGGAUAUUCAAGGAGAUACUAACAACAUUACAAUCAUUCUCAUCAUUCAAAGAUUUAGUGCCAAACAUUUUAUUGCAUUCUUUGUCUAACACUUUGGAACAAUUAUCGGAGUCCUUAUUUUCACGGAAGACAUUAAAAAGCUGAAGCAUAUGUGGCAUCCUCAAUUCCAUUUUUUUGUAGUUUUAUUUUAUAAACUAAACUAUUGAUAAAACAAGAAACUAAAAGAUUCAAUUGGAAGAUCUAAAGACAUACCUUCAAGCACCAACCUCUUCGGCAACGGCGCUAGAAAAGAGCUUGAUGUCUACUACACAACCUUCUUCUUGUAGACGUUGUUGGGCCUUCAAGUACAGAGGUUUGUAGGACAGUAGCAAAUUUCCCUCAAGUGGAUGACCUAAGGUUUUAUCAGUCCGUGGGAGGCGUAGGAUGAAGAUGGUCUCUCUAAAACAACCCCACAACCAAAUAACAAAGAGUCUCUUGUGUCCCCAACACACCCAAUACAAUGGUAAAUGGUAUAGUUGCACUAGUUCGGCGAAGACAUGGUGAUACAAGUGCAAUAUGGAUGGUAGAUAUAGGUUUUUGUAAUCUGAAAAUAUAAAAACAGCAAGGUAACUAAUGAUAACAUUGAGCGAAAACGGUAUUGUGAGGCUUCGAAACAAGGCCUAGGGUCCAUACUUUCACUAGUGCAAGUUAUCUCAACAAUAAUAAAUAAUUAGAUAAUAUAACAACCCCUCAACAUGCAACAAAGAGUCACUCCAAAGUCACUAAUAGCAAAGAACAAAUGAAGAGACUAUUGUAGGGUACGAAACCACCUCAAAGUUAUUAUUUCUGAUCAAUCCAUUGGGCUAUUCCUAUAAGUGUCACAAACAGCCCUAGAGUUCGUAGUAAAAUAACACCUUAAGAUAUAAAUCAACAAAAACCCUAACGUCACCUAGAUACUCCAAUGUCACCUCAAGUAUCCAUGGGCAUGAUUAUGUGAUAUGCAUCACACAAUCUCAGAUUCAUCUGUUCAACCAACACAAAGAACUUCAAAGAGUGCCUCAAAGUUUCUACCGGAGAGUCAAGACAAAAACAUGUGCCAACCCCUAUGCAUAGAUUCCCAAGGUCACGGAACCCGCAAGUUGAUCACCAAAACAUACAUCAAGUGUAUCAAUAGAAUACCCCAUUGUCACCACGGGUAUCCCACGCAAGACAUACAUCAAGUGUUCUCAAAUCCUUAAAGACUCAAUCCGAUAAGAUAACUUCAAAGGGAAAACUCAAUACAUUACAAGAGAGUAGAGGGGGAGAAACAUCAUAAGAUCUAACUAUAGUAGCAAAGCUCGUGGCACAUCAAGAUCGUGCCAAAUCAAGAACACGAGAGAGAGAGAGAUCAAACACAUAGCUACUGGUACAUACCCUCAGCCCUGAGGGUGAACUACUCCCUCCUCGUCAUGGAGAGCGCCGGGAUGAUGAAGAUGGCCACCGGUGAUGGAUCCCCACUCCGGCAGGGUGACGAAAUAGGGUCCCGAUUGGUUUUUGGUUGCUAUAUAGGCUUGCGGUGGCGGAAUUCCCGAUCUAGAUUAUUUUCUAGAGGUUUGGGGAAUGAACAUGUCAGGGGGGCCCAUGGAGAGUCCACGAGUCACAGGGGCGCCCCCCAGGGGGGUGGGCAAGCCCUCCACCCUCGUCGGGCCCAUGGGACUCCCCUCCAGUAACUUUUUGUCCCAAUAUUUUUUAUAUUUUCCAAAAAAUAUCUCCGUUGUUUUUCAGUGCAUUCCGAGAACUUUUAUUUCUGCACAAAAACAACACCACGGUAGUUCUACUAAAAACAGCGUCAGUCCGGGUUAGUUCUAACCAAAUCAUACCUAAAGCAUGUAAAAAUAUUAUAAACAUGGCAUGAAUACAUCAAAAAUUAUAGAUACGUUGGAGACGUAUCAGUCCCCAAGAGGAAAUAUUUUGAUCAACAGACUAAGAAAUGUUUUAACUGUGCCCGCAGUUGGCGCCGAUGAGGUCGAGUCCCUGAACGCACCCUUGCCCAGGCCAAGAAGGUAGCAGAGGCGAGCAAGGCGGUCGCAGAGAAGCCGACCGAACGCUUAGAGGAGGAGAAGACCACCCGCCAGCAGCAAGAGGCACGGGUGUGUGAGGUUGAAAAAGAGGCCAAGGACGCUAUUGCUAGAUGUGAGUCCUUGGAGCAGAUGAGCUCGGAACAUGCCUUCGAGCUUGCCAAAGCCCAUGAGAGCCUGAAGGAAGCCCGGGCUGAUGCCCGGGACGCUCUCCAAGAAAUCCAGGAGGCGAGGAGUAUUGCGGCUGGUAAGGCCUUUAUUGUGGAGAGUAGGUAUACCAAUAGAAGAUAUAUUUUACUAACCCGAGUUUGGAGUUCUCCAGGCGCCUUUGCCGAUCUGCCAAGAAGCAUUGCGGACGCUGCCAUAUUCUUCCGAGCCGAAGAGGGAAGUUCUACGGAGAAACUAUACUGGUCGCAGUACCUAGCGCCGGAGCUUCUAGUGUCCCUGAGUGACCAGAUGAAGCAGUUGUCCGAGCUACAUACGAUGGCUGAUCUGGCCAUGAAGGACAUGGUAGCCCGUCUGUGGUCGGCCGAAGCCAUGCCUAGCAGCCACUUUGGGCUCGUGAAGAAACUUGUGGAGGCGCUCCCUCGGAUUGUUGCCCUUAAGCGGUCAUACUGUAUUGAGGAUUCUCGGAUGGCCUUUGCCCGUGUGAAGGUUUAGUGGGAGAAGAUGAAAUCCACCGAGGUUGCAACCGCAGGGCCACUUGAGGGCAAGGAACUGUGGCACCCUGGCUCAGAGCAACCGGUUUACCAUGCAUUGCCAGCCCAGACACCAUGUCUUCUGGCAACACACAACAUCUUGGUACAGAAAACAACCGCUUUAUUGAUGCUAGCAGAUCAAAGUUUAUAUUACAACAGGUAGCGAGGCCAAGCGGCACACACGGUGCGGCUGAACAAUAUGUACAUUAUUUAGUGAACAUAAAUGGUGCCUCGAUCAUCACAACUACACGGCAGCGGAACAACGUCAUAGCGGAACUCCAUAGCACAGGGACGCCGAUGUGGACAAUAUCUAGACUCGGACAGCACUCCUUUCCAACGAGACUUUCCUGAAAUCUGGACACGCUAGGUCAGUACAUCGAAUGUACUUGCAAGCUCACAACAAGCAUAAACAUAAUGACAAACAAUAUCAUGAUAAUUUAACCAAUUCAUAAUAAUGCAACAAUAUAUCCAACAUGCUGUGAACAUACUCUUGUGAUAAAAGUCCCUCAGACUACCUUACCAACGGUGAUCUCUCUUGGAUCACAGACAUACCAACCUCAAGGUAUUAACUAGAAACAUCUCGUGAUCAUUCCGGCGAUCACAACCACGACCAAUAUUUGGUCUUAAACGGUGAUCCCGCCGGCGAUCACAACGACGACCAACACUUGGUCUAAAACAAUAAGAUGACCUUUCCGCCAUCAUCAACAGUGCCAAGUUCAUAACUUAGUGUGCAAGAUUUAUUAAAUGUUGACCCAUGGUGUGACCUACUUUCAAGCGUGUCCAUAACCGUGGACUCGGCUAUCGAUAGAUUAAUACACUCUGCAGAGGUAGCGCACUGUACCCACACCACGGAACCCAUGGCCUCGCACUCCCAUUCGGGUGGACCAACGACAUUCCAACGAAACCCUUCCAUUGCCAUGACACUCUCCCGGCCACUCUGACUCACUCCCCACUAGGCUAGUCCUGGGUGGCCCCGUGUCUACCAAAGACACAAUGACCACCGUCGUGGCCAAAACAUAAACGAUCCCACACGGGGACCCCAUAAACUCAACAACGAGCACACAAGGUUAUGGCUGCUUACCGGGCCAGGGUACCGCACGCCCAUAACUUUCCCUCGUUGGAGGCACCGACCAGAGGCAUGACAACGGACCGAAUAAAGGCCUUCCCAUAAAGGCAAAUGUGGUUGCACUGGGAAAAAAACUUGAUUCAGUGGCACCAUUACCCGGUCAACAAUAUAUUCAAGUUGAGUUAUUAACAGUUUCAACUUAAUGUGAAAAUAACCGGUGUCAUAGCAUGCCAUGAAAUGCAACUCUAACAUGCAUCACAUAUCAAUGAAAAUGACUGAGUCAACUAUAUCCACACUAAGCAUAAUCAUCAGCAACUCAUGACACUUCUUUGGUUAAGAUUAAACCUCACUUUAUUCAGAAUCUUUUCUAGCAAAUUUUACCAUUUUUACUCAUGCAAGAAAAUAACUCCACUAAUUAUUUAUAUCCAUAACCAUAUUAUUCUUUUAAUCACCCAAAAUAAAUCAUAGUUUCUUUACCAACUAAGUUCGCCUCAAACUUUCUGUAAAUCAAGCAUAUUAAAUAAAACAAGCAAUUAACAGAAUAUAAUUAACAUAAUAGUGAUUUAAAUGCAUGGAUUAAAUCAUUCACUCAAGUAGAAAAUCACAAAUAUUGUAAUGGCACCAUGAAAAUGUUGCUGUGGCUUGCCUUAGUGCAGAUGAGGUUCACAAGCCUCCAGGUGAUCCUCAACACAAGCCUCACCCUCUGAAAAUAAUUAAAAGCACAAAAAGAAAAUAUCAAGAACCCUUUCGAAAUUCACCAGAAAAUCUAGACAGCAGGGAAAAAAAUCCCAUCUUUGGUGAGCUGCUAGAUUUUUGAACAAAGAACACAAUGCAAAAAGAAUCAAUUCAUUUGGACUUAUGGUUAAAAAGUUGUGGCUGUUUGAAUUUAAAUAAACAGACUGAGGGGGGGGGGGUGACGUCGAAGGCGUAAUGCCUCGGGGCGCCACCACUCAUACCGCUUCGCGCGUGUACUGAGUGGAUGACUAGCGGUCUCCGCUAGUCAGGUGAGGGGGAGAGAGAGAGGGAAACAGAGGACAGCACGGCUUCGUCGGAGCGCACGCCGGUGACAAGGGCUCCUUGGCCAGAACGAGAGGGAGGGAUCGAAAGAGGAGACGGAGGCGCACCUGCCCGUACUCAUAGAGUAGCUAGGGGUGGUCGAACGGCACCAGAAUCAGCCUCUCCUACGGAGGCAGAGAGCAGAGGUCACCGGAGACGAAGACGACGGUGAACGGAGGCGACUCCAGGGGCUCCAACCGGGCAGAACAACACCACCGACGAGCGGAGGAGUCCCUGGAAGAGUUGCCCUGGCCUGGGAGGGGCUGGAACCGCGGAGACAACCCGAGGGGAUCGCCGGCGAACUCGAGCUCGGGGACGGUGGCCCGCGGCCUGCCCGGCCGGGCUACGGCUUUCUACGUGCUUGUGGAGUGUGUGGGAGUGGUGGAUGGUGCUCGAGGAGGCUGGGGAGGGCCCUAUUUAUAGCCGAGCGUCAAGGGGGGUUCGGGCUCCGCCGGUGGACACCUGGCCACGGCACCCGGCAACGAACGACGUCAGUGAGAGGGGGUGAAGAAGACGCAGCUCACGCAAGAACUAUGGGAUAAAGGGGACGAGCAUAGGGGCGAGAGGAAGGUGACGAGCACAGUGCGCACUGCACUAUUGCGUUGGACGGACCGUGCCUAUGCCCGCUGCGGCGAGCUCCGGCGUUGGCGAGCGCCAGGGGGGAGCUAAAAAGGUCGAGACAAUGAUCAUGGUGAAGUUUGGUACGCUCAGGCAGGCGGGGAAGCGAGCAUGCGCGCAACAGAGCACUCGGCGGCACUCAGAGUGCGUCGGCUGCAUGCCUGCACACCUGGACGAACGCGGUCACGCUACAAAAAAAGACACAUCCGUGACAUUUUGGGCCGAACGAAUUUUUUUCUGUCAUACAUAUGACACUUCUAUGACGAUAAUUGUGACAAAACCCGGUAUCAUCAUAGAUGUGGUGGGCUCCUACUUCUAUGACAAAAAAUCAUGACAGAAAAUGGGCUUUUCAUCCUGGGCGGGCCGGAGACGCAGCUGCAUGACAUUCUUUGGGCCGUCCAUGACGGAAAAAACCAUGGUAGAAGCGAGGGGGAGGAUAAUUUUGGGGAGUUGCCGGUUACGGUGGAAGGUCGGGGGCGGAGCGAUGCGCGUUUCUCUCGUACGUACGCGCGUGUGUGCGAGGCGUUGGCUCUAACUGAACCCGAGCGAGGCGUUGGGCUCUAACUGAACCCAAGCAAUUGCACUGCACGCUACGCGUUACUGAACCCGAGCGAUCGAUCGAUGGCUGUUAACUGAACCCGAUGGAGCGAUUCCUUUGCUACUGCUGCUAACUGAAGCCGAUCGAUGCUGCCUCUAGGAUGAACAGUGAGCGUUGUGGGGGGGGGGGUUGGAUGAACAGUGAGUGGUGGCGUUGCCUCUGGAUGAACAGGACCUGUGGUGUGGAGGGCUGGAUGAAUAGUAGACGAUGGAGGGGUGGCCGUGGAGGGGUGGUUGAACCGGACCCUGUGGUGUGGAGGGCUGGAUGAACAGUAGACGGUGGAGGGGUGCCCGUCGAGGGAUGGUUGAACAGUAGCCGGUGGAGUAGCGCACGGUGGAGGGUGGAUGAAUAGGAGCCCGUGGAGGCUGGAGGAGGUCGACGGUAGCCCGUGGAGGCUGGAGGAGGUCGACGGUGGAGAUGAACAGUAUCUCGUGGAGUCCCGUUUUGUGGUACGCCACACCCCUCCCUCCCCACCCCCCGUUUCGACCAUAGCGCUCCAACACAAGUCCGUUUCGUCCGUUUUGCGGUACGCCACACCCCUCCCGAUGAACAGGACCCCCGUUUCGACCGUAGCCCUCCAACACAAGUCCGUUUCGUCAGUUUUGCGAUACGCCACACCCCUCCCGAUCAACAGGACCCCCGUUUCGACCAUAGGAGGUCCGUUUCCUCCGUUUUGCGGUACACCAGGCCCCUCCCGAUCAACAGGACCCCGUUUCUAACGUGGCCGGUCGAACACAAGGGUGUUUCCUUCGUUGUGCGGUAUGCCAGGCCUCGUUUCCAUCGCCUGUUCCGUCCAAGCCUUCCCAAUGAAGACGACCACGUAUUCCGUUCCGACCCAGCCGGUUGGCUCCCCAUGAACACGACGACGAUGCUGUUUCUCCGUUCCGACCCAGCCAUGUACGUAUGUGCGAUAGGCGUUAGAGACCCUGCCCGUAUGUACGUACGUGGCCGUAUUUUCUUUCUUGCACCCUCACCGCUGUACGUACGUGUACAUGCUACGUGCGCGCCUCUACUACGACACGUGCGCGCCUCUACAUCUACGACACGUACGCGCCUCUACAUCGACCAGUAUGUACGUACACGUUCGCGACCAGAAUGACAACGCUACGUACGCUUCGACCAGGUGGGUCCCGACUGUCAGGCACUUCCUUGCGUGCGAAGAUGUAGCUGGUGGGUCCCAGCAGUCAGGGGGGCGAAUCGUUUUUUUUGCCCGGACACACUUCCUUGUGUGCGAAAAUGUAGCUGGUGGGUCCCAGCAGUCAGGGGGCGAAUCGUGUUUUUGCCUGGACGCACUUCCUUGCAUGCGAAGGUGCAGCUGGUGGGUCCCAACAGUCAUGGGGGAAACAUUUCUUUCACGAAAUACUGUGGCCCGUCCGGUGGGUCCCAGCUGUCAGGUGGAGGAAUAAUUAUUUUCCGCGUAAUAAGGAGGCACUUCCUUGCUGCGGACGUGGACCCAGCUGUCAGCCUCUCCACAUACAGUCCACGUCUGAUGGAAGUUGUUCCUUGACCACGUUGACCACGCCGCGCCGAGAGCACCAGGGAGGUGGAUGACGGCGAGGCCUAGGAAGGGUACGCCGAGGAGCCGGGGAAGACGCGGCAGUGGAAGCCCGCGCGGAGAGGAGUACGAGGGUUCACUGGUUCGGCUGCGGUGUGAGGCUGCCGUCGCCGCAGGGCCUAGCCAGCGGUGGGAAUAGUAGGGGGCGGUGAGGCCUGCGCGACAGCACAUCCGGCCAUGGGAAGCAGGAGCAUGCGGCACGACCGACACUGCUUUGGGCGGCUGGAGCAAGAAGACCAGAGGUUGAAGAAGCACUACGGCCGUUGGAUGGACAUUGUACGGUCACUGGAGCUAGAAUCAUUUAUAUUGACUAUGUUGACAAAGCCCUUCAUCCCCGUCAACUUAGUAGGCCCACAAGUCAGCCUCCCAUCAAGGUGGGUCCCAGCUAGCAGGGGGUAUUCAUUUUUUUGUGCGUAAUAAGGAGGCACUUCCGGUGGGUCCGAGCUGACAGCAGGGGGAACGUUUUUUUCACGAAAUACGGUGGCCCAUCGGGUGGGUCCCAGCAGUCAGGGGUAAACAUUUUUUUUCGCAAAAUACUGGUGGCCCGUCUGGUGGGUCCCUGCUGUCAGGUGGAGGAAUAAUUAUUUUCCGCAUAAUAAGGAGGCACUUCCUUGCGGCUGUCGUGGACCCAGCUGUUAGCCUCUUCACGUACAAUAUUCUUCCGAUGGAAUUCGGUCGUUGACCACAUUGACCACGCCGUGCCGAGAGCACCACGGCGGUGGACGACGGCGAGGACUAGGAAGGGGAUGACACAGAGCCGGGGAAGACGCGGCAGUGGAUGCCCACGCGGAGAGGAGUACGAGGGUUCACUGGUUUGGCUGCGCUGCCGUCGCCGCAGAAUAACAGGUGGUGUGGGUGAGUGGAGUGGAGGGAUGGCCUGGCCAGCGGUGGGAGUAGUAUGAAGGCGGUGAGGCCUCCGCGGCAGUACAGCCGCCCACGAGAGGCAGGAGCAGGCGGCACGACCGGCGCUGCUUUGGGCGGCUGGAGCAAGAAGACCAGAGGUUGAAGAAGCACUAUGGCCGUUGGAUGGAUAUCGUACGGUCACUAGUGCUAGAAUCGUUUAUAUUGACUAAGUUGAUAAAGCUCUCCGUCCCCGUCAACUUAGUAGGCCCACAAGUCAGCUUCCCACCAAGGUGAGCCCCAGCUAGCAGGGGGAGUAUUCAUUUUUUUGUGUGUAAUAAAGAGGCACUUCCGGUGGGUCCGAGCUAACAGCCGGGGGAACGUUUUUUUCGUGAAAUACGGUGGCCCGUCCGAUGGGUACCAGCAGUCAGGGGGGAAACGUUUUUUUCCGCGAAAUAAGGUGGCCCAUCCGGUGGGUCCCUGUUGUCAAGUGGAGGAAUAAUUAUUUUGUGCGUAAUAAGGAGGCACUUCCUUGCGGCCGCCGUGUACCCACCUGUCAGCCUCUCCACGUACAGUACUCUUCCGAUGGAAGUCGGUCGUUGACCACGUUGACCACGCCGCACCAAGAGCACCAGGGCGGUGGACGACGAUGAUGCCUAGGAAGGGGACGACGCGGAGCCGGGGAAGACGCAGCAGUGGAAGCCCGCGCGGAGAGGAGUACGAGGGUUCACUGGUUCGGCUGCGGUGUGAGGCUGCCGUCGCCGCAGAAUAACAGCGGGUGUGGGUGAGUGGAGGGAUGGCCUGGACAGCGGUGGAAGUAGUAUGGGGGCGAUGAGGCCUCCGCGGUAGCACAGCCGGCCACGGGAGGCAGGAGCAGGCGGCACGACCGGCGCUGCUUUGGGCGGCUGGACCAAGAAGACCAGAGGUUGAAGAAGCACUACGGCCGUUGGAUGGACAUCGUACGGUCACUGAAGCUAGAAUCAUUUAUAUUGACUAAGUUGACAAAGCCCUUUGUACGCUCCAACUUAGUAGGCCCACAGGUCAGCCUCUGAAAUGGUGCACCCCAGAUGUCAGGGGGAGGAAUCAUUUUUUGGGCGGCCGAAGCUAAGAAUAUCCGAGAUUGAAGAAGAAGCACGACAUCCGUUGGAUAGACAUCCAACAGCCACUGCUACUAGAACCGUGUGUUGACUAUAAUAAGUUGACAAAGCCUUGCAUAUGCGUCAACUUAUUUUUUUUAGGGGACGCGUCACUUAGUAGGCCCACAAGUGUAUGGCAGAGAACUUAUAGCCCAUUUGCGUUUUGUAAGAAUGUACAUCCCAUUUUUGAAUUCUAAUGGAAUUUACAACAGCGCAUUUACAGUUUGUUAAAAGUACAACCCAUUUUCUAGUUAGGACAACGAUUAAUAAUUUCAACCAACCGUUGAAGACAAAAUUCAAUAAAAUUUCCCACAUUUUUAUGGGAUCCGAAAUAUUUUUAUCCCAAAAUUUCUAUUCAGACUAAAUAUAAAUUUGUAUUACGUAAAAAUCCAACAAAACAUUCCGCGCGCAAUAAUGAAAAUUUAAGAUUUUCAAAAUCCAUAAAUAAUAUUUUAUAAACUAAUUUCGUGUUUGGUGCAUUUUUUUAUAGUUACUGCCCAGUUUUUAUAAUUACAUCCCAUUUAUUAUUAAAGCCCAUUUUCCUAUUAAGCCUAAUGCAUCCCUCCUAGGAAAAAUUUGCAGCACAGCGGGGCGGAGAAUAACAAGUUGACCUUGCCUAGGUAUUCCUCAAAAAGACGUAUAGCUGGGCUACCCAUUUUCACCUUGAAAAAAGUAGUAUCUGGGCUGGAUAUCUGGCCUGGGCUAGACGGGCCACAGCCCGCCCAGUUAAUACCCUGCUCUCCUCUGAACAACAACGAAAUCAUCGCCAAGAAAAACUCUGCAGUGCUCACACCUCCAAAACACAAAUACUGCUCGAGCUGCUUGGUCCCAGCUGUCGACCGCACCUUGUGCAAUUCUCUCGUUUAUAUUGACUACAUAGGUUGACAAUGGUGUUGGACCGUGAUGUCAGGAAACCAGGAGAAAGCAAAAAAAAAUAUAGUUGUACAUAAUAAGGAGGCACUUGCGUACGUACGGCUAUGGCCCUAGUGGGUCCCUAGUGUCAUCCAGUCAAAAUAAAGUCAUCUCCUGAAUCCUCAUGUUCGUUGACCAUGUUAACAAUGCUCGGUGCCACGGCGAGUGCAACAACUCGAAGGACAACGGAGAGGGCCUCGCGGGCCUUACGGAGGUCUGAUACAGCGCCCGCUGCUCAUUCAGGAAGCCAGGAUCAUCGGACACCUAUGACCACCUUCGAGAAACUAAGACGACAUGAAAUGGUAAGGCCGCGCUUGGGAGCUCUGGUUUAUUUCAAACCUGUAUUAACAUACAAGUGUAAUUUACUCGUCAUCGGAAGGCCCGAGGUCUGUAAGUAAAACCGGCGGGUUACGCGUGUAAUUUGAGGGACUAGUGUAUCUUUUACGAGCAUUGCUAUAUGGACGAUAUUACCAGACGAUACAUGCACGAUGUGCGUAUCAUGCCAUGCAUGGGCAAGGCUGAAACAGCACCUAACGGCUGGAUUAGCAAUCGUCCGAGUGUCGUUCAGCGUUUUUCUCAUGUGUGAAGUACUUCUGAUAUUUUACUAGUCAAAAUCGACUAACCAAGUGCCUUCGCCCGGGACCAUCUGCUUUAAUUUACAAGUGUCAGUUUAACAAGCGGUUUUGGUUGGAAAACGACGAUCCAAUCACGGCCUAAUAUCAUGAGUUGGUUGGAAGAUCAUAUGGUUUCACGUCUAACCUACCCGACAUGUCGUAUAGGCUAUGAAUGAAACAUCAGACGAUGAACUUCUUACGCACGGAAACAACAGAAGAGGAUGAUCUUCUUAACAAGCAAAUCACUGGCAUUAGAUCGACAUGCAAAACAAUACGAAGCAUUAUUCUCAGGAGGCACGGUGAACAGCUCGUGACGCCGCAUGCCACAACAUUCCAAGCUCAACUUUGCAAUCGAACACAAGGCCUGGAAUUACAUAGACAAUAUUCAGAACAAACUCUUAACACAGGAAUAUCUCAGCAGAGUAACUAUUUACUUCUAAAUUGAACACAGGAAUAGGAAAAAACACUCGACGCUGCUCACAGCAAGGGCGUCCCACUCAAAAAUAUCAAAUGCAUGUCUUCUGGCUAACAUUAAUGAGCAAAUUUUGACAAGAUUUUCCAAUUCCAAUAUAUUGAACUAACGUCUUGUUGCAAACAUCAAUGAGCAAAUUUUGACAAGGUUUUCCAAUUCCAAUAUAUUAAACUAACUUCUUCUUGCUAACAUCAAUGAUUAAACUUUGACAAGCUUUUCCUAUUCAAAAUAUGUAAUGCCUAUGAUCGUGUCCUGUCUUAGCUUCUUGUACUUGUUUGGGCACUUUUUGCCCAAGGCACUCCACGUGUUGUUAAAUUGCCAAUGGUCUCUGCAGACUAGUCAUGUCACCGGUGUCUAAUAAUACUCUAUAAAGCUUCUCGGUCAUUCCUUCUGUAAUGGACCGCAUCCAGUGAAUGCUUCUUUCUGCAAAGUAGAACGACCAACUGGACCCAGUAACGCAGCAGUUUGCCUUGGACACAUUGGCUCCUUUUGUGCAGUUCAACUAAAAUCGAAGUCAGAAUAAAACCGAGCUUUAAUUUUGAGAUCCCUGUAAGCAACAAUAGGUAUAAGGGAAACAAUUACUGAAAAAUAACGGUUGUUGACUUGCCUUAAUGGGAAACAAAGGAGGAGAGGAGCAAUUCUCCAUCAAUGUGAUUCAUUCAUAUUGACUGAGGCAUUAUCUUAACAAUGCCUUGGUUAAACAUGUAUAAAGAACGACAAAGCAGAAAAGUACCAUUCCUAAAACAAUGCAACUGAUUCAUUUUUAAAGAGACAUUAUCUUAACAAUACCUUGGUUAAACAUGUAGAAAGAACUACAAAGUAGGAUAGUUCCAUUCCUAACAAGUGUUGCAGUUUUGAACUAAGAUUCAAUAGUUAAUUAAUUCUGAGAGUGGCAUUGCUUAAUUUUACCAGCGGCAUUAGAUUAACGAAAAGCAUAAACAGUUCCAGGGGAGAGUGGGCGCAACAACAAUAUGUGCUUCCAUCUACUUAUAAAGGGGGUGAUGCAGAGUUUGUUGUAACAAAGCAACAAGCAUCAUGUCUAGGUUGGUCCCAUUUUUGUUCACUACUUAAUGGGAAAAGACAGCAAUACAAUAGCUUCAAUUCAACAUUUAUUUAAAACAGUACCAAUACAAGUAGCACAACAUCUCAAAGCACACUGCACAAUCAUGUGGGUGAAGGCCUGUUGACCUUUCAUGAGAACACCAGGAUAAAAUAUGAAUCCGCUAACACGAAUAGGAAAUCCAAUCUCAUUUUGUGCAGUUGCACUGAAAUCAAGCAAAGUGUUUCGCGUAGCGAAGCAAAAUGUCGCAAUAGCAACAAGUUGAAUACAUAUCAUGUAGUAGAGACCAAGAUUUGAAACAACUCGACAGGAACAAUGGAAACAAAUCUCGAUCUCCUUUUGUGCAGUUCCACCAAAAUUAAGCAAAGUCACCGGUGUGACAUUCAAGUUGAACUGCACAAAACACUCUUAAAACAUAAGUGUUUCGAGUAGCGAAGUAAAAUGUCGCAAUAGCAACAAGUUGAAUCGAUACCCCUGUUUUAACAGAGGCAAAAAAGGAAACAAUUACUUGCCGAUAAAGGAGGAUGAAACAAACGGUGACAGAAAGAAGCAUCUAACUUAUCUUGGAUGGAAACAAAGUAGGAUAGUAGCAUUUCUAAAACGGUAGCAUUGAUUCAUAUUAACAGAGACACUCUCUUGAAACAACAUUCGUUAAAAAAUGUACUUUACUUUUAACUGUGGCAUUGCUUCAAUUUUCCGGCGGCAUUCUAGGGCCUGUUUGGUUCCAAUAAGUCACCAGUGACUUAUAAGUUAUGCAUGUUUGGUUGUCACCUGACUUAUAAGUCAUCUGACAUACCUUCCCACACCAAUCAACAUCAUGUAGCUGGUGGGACACACGUAAAAGGGGGUGACUUAUAAGUUUUAAGUUGGGGUGGAGCAACUUAUGACUUAUAAGUUAGGGUGACUUAUAAGUCGGGUCUGUUUGGCAAAAUAAGUCACUUUUUUCACUAUUCGACUUAUAAGUUGGUGACUUAUUUGGAACCAAACAGGCCCUUAGAUUAACAACAGCAAAAUAGCUGUAUGGCACAUGCUAGCACCAUGUGCGUCCACACGUAUAAAUGGGUGAUGCAGAGUAUGUAGCCAAGCAACAUAUCUGUGUUGCUCCCAUAUUUGUUCUCUUUGAACUUUUUUCCUAUGUGAGGGUAGCAAAUCUAGUCCUGCACAAACUAUCCGACCCCCCCCCCCAGUUUCUUUCCCUUUUCAACAAAGAGAUCGGUUCCUUACAGAUGUGUGUACUGGGUUACCCCCUUUUUCCCUUUUCGACCAACAAAGCGGCUGGAUAGCCAGUUUAUACUACUUUUCCUCCCUCCUUUCCUCAUUGAACCACGUCCUAGAUUCAUGCUCCACCCCACCGCACCUUUCUUUCCUCUUUGAACCAAGACCUAGAUUCGACUACAGAUCGAAAAAGAUCCACAUGUAGCUAGAGCAACGAUGGUUUCAAAGAAAACUUAUACCUUAGGGUCGUCGGGAUGUGGAAAGGCGUGCGGUGGGAGGCCGGAUUUGCCCACACUACGUACGGAAGCGAGGAAGAAGGGGUCGGUGGCCCUCCCGCACAGGCGCUGGGUGAAAGAGAACAGCGCAGCCGACAGUGGAUUGCCUCCCUCGCCGAAGGCGAUAGAGUUAACGUUGCACCUCCUCCCCUUCCCGGUGCGACGGGAUACGGAUGCCUCCUUCACCAGCUGUGAGGGGGAAAGAGACAAGAGGCCAAUGCAGUCUUGUUUAGAUCUGGUGAAGAGAGGGUGAGAGACUGUGAAUAUAGCAAACCCUAGCAAAUGAAUGCUGAGCCUCCAGCGUGUAACAUAUAUGUAUUGCGGCGAGCGUGUGGAGAGUGCAAACCCUAGCGAACAAGCGAUGAGGCUCCCGCUUAUAUAUAUACUAAUGUAGUACGGACUGAGCUCCAGUGCCUUCACUCCAUGUGCUUUUGGUUGUAUGACAGGUGAGCUAGCCACAUUUUGGGCCCACCUGUCAUAAACCCAAAGGCAGGUGCACUAAGUCAAUGAAGCUGCGUCCAUAUAGUACUCUCGUGUGUAUACGACAAAUAUAUAGUGGAGUAGUUUUCUUAUUCUCUCCAUAACAAUCGUUUUAAAUUGUGUAAGUACGAAACAAAACUCUUUAUUUAAUGUACAGAGGGAGUACUACUUCUGAUGAACUAACGAUCCACGCCCACGCGUCCUGGUCACACUUCCUGUCCUUCACGUGUGGUACACUACCCUCCCUUAAGUGAACAACCACACAUGCGCCAAAUUAUCGGAAACGUGUGACAGUUUGUACAAAUAAAGAAUUUUAAUUUCAAUUAUCGGAAAGGUUUGAGAGUAUUACAAAGUUUGACUUUAGUCAAAUCUAAUAUGCAGAGUAAAUAAAAAUGGAGGGCUACUACGUCCAUCCGGGUUUUUAGUACACACUAUUUUUUAAAUCAAAGUUAAUAGCUGGACAAAUAAAAUUACAGGGGAGCUGGAGACAAAGUUGUGAGAAGGCUUAGAAAUCUAUACUACCUCCUUUCCAGUUUAUAGGGCUCAAUUUAAAAAUCUCACCAACCAAGAUAGAUGAUGAGUGGUGGAAUAAUUUUCGUGGUUUGUAAAAUCACUCAAUUAAUGCGCUCAUUUUCCUCAAAGAAUUGUGUUUACCAAUGCAUUAUUUGCAAUGCAUGCAUGCAUGGAGUACAUGCAUUGGUCAAGUUUCUCAUAAUACUUGCAUGCAAUGAAUUAAUGCACCUUGAAAUCUGAGCAUGUGAUGAGGAACAAUCAAAUUGAGACUUAUAAAAUGGGAAACCAAAUUUUUUGAGAUAAGCCCUAUAAACCGGGAAGGAGGGAGUACAAAACUUAUGCUCUUAGUACCAACGUCGAUCCUUCUUCGAGGAAACAUUUGGUUCAUAGCCAAUUGUGUGAUAAAAUUGCUCCAACGUGAAAGACGACUGCGUCUCCAAGGUGAACUGACGAAGGAUAUCAUCUUUGUGCGUAACAAGCAAAGAGCACUGAUGGAAGACAGCGUGUUUUUCAUUUAAAAUCAAUCAGCUUCACCAGCCGACGCAACCAUGAGGCGCGACCAUGAGCAUCGAUAGUUUGUGGUCUAUUUUUUUUGUCCUAGUUUUUUUGUUUCUUGUUGCUACAUUAUAUACUUGUGGGAGCUUAGAUGUGAUAUCCUUAAAUAACAUCUAGAUGUGAAUUGGACAAACUGAUUUUCUAACGUACCAAGAAAUAAAACUCGAUCAAAAACACGCCCCCGCUUCCAGGUCGCGAGAGUCGUCACACACACACACAUAGACAUAGACAUGCAUAUCCGUGUUUACGUAAAAUUCCAUUUCCAUCUCCAUCUCCAAUCAUAUUUGUCCAACUGGCACGUUAUUCACGUUGUUAAUUAUAUACGCAGCAAUAUUAACGUACAACAUCUCUUGUUUGCGCACGUCCGGACCGCUGCCACGGCCGGUCCUGACCAACCCGAACCCUCUUUAUCACCCGCGUGUGCUUCCCGCCCGAAACGGUCAGUGCCGCAUUCAUGCCCGGCUAGAGCGGACGCGACCUCUCACUGGCGCCGGCAUUGAAGCGACACGCCGGCCGAGAGAGCAUCGCCCGUGCCGCUUCCGGGUGCACGCGGCUGCUCCGCGUUCAAAGGUCGCAAUAGCAGGCUACAACAUGCAUGUAAAAAGUUUUUGGGAGUCCGUGCUACAGCUAGCUGUCCUCCCCCAACUCGUCAAUCUCUUCCAGUAGUGCUAGUAGUACUCCAUGGCGUGACCCAUCGACUAGCAGGCGGGAAAGUUAUCGUAUACUCGGUAUGCGGUGAGUGGCAUGCCGAGCGACAAUGUGGGGUCGAGCCGUGGAGGAGGGUGAGACACGAACACGACAGACGUGAUUUACUGUGUGAUUUGACUGCUCCUUAGUGGCCCCUACACGUACUCCCCCUACGUGUAUGCAACAGUCACACGUACACAUGGACGCAAAAACGCGCGCGACGUCCUAAUGCAUGCAUGUCCGAGCACAUGACGGAACACACACGGUCACGCUAAGUGCUCAGCCUACAUGUGCAUGCACACACAUACUCAGUCAGGGUGAGCUAGUGACCGUAUAAACACCGGAAUAUAUAUAUAUUGAGCACAAUGAGCGUAUUAUGAAGUCCACUGACCGUAUUUUUACAAAUAUACAGUGACAGACCGUGUAUUUAUCUCGUUUGAAAGUAAUCCAUAUUAACCGGAGAGGAGGCAGUAUGGACUAGCAUUACUUGCGCGCGGUGGCUCGCAGGACAAGGAGAAACUUUUGACUAAUGCAAGCUCUCCCUCGCUCAGGCGGUGGACGUGCAACAGUUAAUUCGAUGUCAGAUUGCCAGAAGCAUACACUAUACUACUAGUUCUACUAUUGUUCGACUUCCCGAAUAGGCGAACAACCAAGCGCAAAGUUUACUAAUAUAGUCUAUAUAGGUACGUACUAUACUAGUACUAGGAACCGGUUGGAGGAGCGUCUGCACUCUUAUUGUAAUUUUAAAAUGUGAUAAAGCAAUCUUCAACACAUUUGGUUAUCUUCGAGGGUUCUCGCAUGUGAUAAUGGAAGUUGAUUGCAUGGAACACUCGCCCCAAUUCUCGCUUAAUUCUGGCUCAUAUCCUGUUACAAAUAGUAGCGCUCGGUAAUAUUUCAUCUUUUUUUGUUAUUCAGCAUGUAAGCAGGUCAGCAAACCUUGCGGCGCAUCUUCGUGCGAACCGUGCUUGCUGCACUUUGAAUGUGGCCGAGAGCUGGCUUGAUGAAACACCUCGCUUCCUACUUCUUUUUUUACGGGGUACCUCGUUUCCUAGUGACCAGUGUCUUGGUUGAUCGUCCUAAGAAUGCUUAUAUAUGAAUAAAGCUCUCUCAUUUACCUGCAAAAGGGAUUGAGACAUAUUAACCAGAAAGGAGGGAGUAUGGACUAGCACUACUUUUUGGUGUGUCCCGUCAACUCGCGGAACGAGGAGAAGCUUGCAGGACAAGGUGAAGCUCUCUUACGCCUUUUGACUAAUGCAACCUACCCUCAGUCCAUUCGGUGUCAGAUUGUCAGAGGCAUACACUGUAGUACCCAACAUGAGGAGUACCAUCAUUGUUCAACUUCACGAAGAGGCAAAGAGCCAAGCGCAGUAGUACGAGUAGUACUACUACUAGAACCGCAUGGUGGAGCGUUUGUACUCGUAUUUCUUUUUAUCUCUGAUAAAGUACACGUUUAUUCCGGAGAAGGGCGGAAAACGGCAGCCCAACAUCAACUUGUAAUGAAUGAUAUCGAUCAACCAACCAUGCUCGAAUAUAUCUUGGCCUCCAUGCGAACCAGUUUGUGUGUUCUCGCUCCUCGUCUCUCUCAAGGAACGGCGGGUUGGCUCUUUGCCAUCAAUUGAGAUCGGUUUGCUCACACUCCUGUCCCACAUGUCAGUGACAUGCCAAGAGGAGGUGCGUUGACCGACUGGCCAUACGCGUACUUGGUUUUGAACCUUCAUACUACUCCUCCCUCCGUCACAGUUUACAGGGCGCGCUUCAUUAUGAUGCAUUUCUCUCAAUGCAUUUCCACCACCAGAGAGACUUUAGACGCGUUUGGUUUAAUGCUCAAUUAAUUAGGGCAUGGUAACCGCAAUCAAGUCCACAAUUUUCUCUCCAUGUAACUACGGAAUGGAGUAAGUGCAUGCAUGUGUGUACCUGGGGUGUUAGCACUGCAUGCAUGUGUGUACGCAUUAUUCUCUCUACUAGUAAUAGACGCCGUGCUAUAACUACCAAUGCUAUUUUUCAGGCCGAUCGCUAGUCGCCUUGGUCCCACAGAUCUUUUUUCUUUUUUCUGAAGCGCGUUGUAUAAACAGUGACAGAUGGAAUAGUAUGAGCUGAUUCAAAGAAGAGCGUAUUGAUGGUUGCUUCUUCAGAGCAACUUACAGUGCGAAAGGUGGGGCUUACGAUUUGACUGCUCAUUACUCACUAUUAAUGCGGCGGAACGACCGGGCUGAGUCUCCCAUGCGGUUGUGCCCUACCCCCUCGGUUCUUAAAUAUACUCCGGAGUAUGUUUGUCUUUCUAGAGAUUUCAACAAGUGACUACUCAAAUAUUUGUCUUUUUAGAGAUUUCAAAUGGUCUGGCACAUACAGAUGUAUAUACAUAUUUUAGAGUGUAGAUUCUCUCAUUUUGUUCCAUAUGUAGUCACUUGUUGAAAUCUCUAGAAAGACGAAUAUAAUAUUUAGGAACGGAGGGAGUACACAUAUGAAGCAAAAUGAGUGAAUCUACACUCUAAAAUAUGCCCGUUUGAAAUUUGUAAAAAGACAAAUAUUUAGGAAUGAAUGAGUAUAAUUUUGUGCAUGGCACAUGGACCCGGAUGAUGAAGAGGCUUCUGGCAAUGCUAUCAAGCUUCCAUCAUUUGUUUACAUAAUUGAGAUACUAUACAAAUAAUUUUCUAGCAAGACAUGAAAUUGUACAAUGGUGUGAGCUUUCAGCUUCUGUUUCGCGUGUCUUGCCAUUGAUGCUCUUUCGGAAACAAUAAAAAACUAACUUCCUUGCUAAUGCAUGUCAAUUAUUAGCACAUCAGAGCUAAUAAUUACAUCACAACUGAAGACAGAGUUGUGAGAAGGUGUUAAAUUAAAAUUUAUCCAUGCUUUCAUUGGCAGAAACGUCCCCCAGCUCUGUCUAAAUCAACAAGGCAUGUUGGGAAAAAAGUAGCUGUCUGGAGCAUGCAACAUUCCAAUCAUUUUGUGCAGUUCCACUAAAAUAGAGCUGAGCGUCCCUGUUCCAAAGAUAUUAAGUGUGAUUACGAUAAUAGAGGACUGCUGAUGAAACAAUAAACACAUAAAUAGAAGCCGGUCACCUUUGCAGUCUCUUUUAAGACUAACUAGUUGGAGAAGAUUAGGCUCGGAGUUGGAUGAGGAGGAUAGAGCAAAACCAAUCUCCCUUUGUGAAGUCGCACUGAAAUGUAGAGAUGUUGCCCAUGUGACAUUUUAGUAUAACUGCACAAAACACUCUUAAGAAAAAAGUGAUUUGUGCAGUUCACCAAAAGGUCACAAUAGCAACGAGGUGAAAUGGAUAGCCCUGUUUGCAAAAACGAGGUAGAAAGGAAACAAUUAUUGGCCAAUAAUAGUUGAUAACACAUGCGACGACAAAAAAGAAGCAUAUUCCUUGCCCUAAUGGAAGAUAACAACACGGUUGUGUUUGUCUAAAAUGGUGUGAGGACGAGAAUGCAAUAUGGAAAGUACGCUGGACGAGCUACGUUUUGGGCAAAGAACUAUAGAAGAUCCACAUGUAGCGACGUGGGAAGACGGCAGUGGAGCAAGGCCGGAGGGGAUACCUGGAGGUCGUCGGGAUGUAACUAGGUGAGCAGCGGCGGCCGGAAUCUGCGAGCACGUGGCGUAGGCCCUGCCGUGCCGGAGCUUGGUCAGAGAGAACGGCGUGUACCGCAGAUUGGGACGUGCUGCCUUGGUGCCGUUGAACGGAGAAACGAUGCACUUCCUCCCUUUCCCCCAGUGGACGGGAUGCGGCCGGAUCAGAACGGUGAGAAAGAGAGAGAGAGGCCACUGCACUCCCUUUCCCCCGGCGGAUGGGAUGCGACUGGAUCAGUGACCAACGAUGAGAGAGAGAGAGGCCACCGCAGCCUUGUGUGACAUACUCUGAAGAUCGACAAACCAGGCACGCAAGGCUCCAUUGUAUAUAGUGAGAGGACUACCUUUUUCUCCAUAAAAAUCAUUUUAUAUUCUGUGUACGUGCCAUUGAGCGCUAUAACUUUAUUUAAAAAUAACGCGGCAACGCGUCAAGUCGAACUUUGUUUCGUGCAUGCGUGGUACACGACCUCCCUAGGUAAACAACCGCUACAGGCGUUCAAAUUAGCACGUGGGCUACCAUUUCGUAAAUAAAUGAGCUCCACCGUGUACCCGCGCGGGUGUGGCUGGGCACGAAGCAUGAGUACGUGCACGGUGCACCUAUUCUCUUCUUGUAUACGUACACCACCUACGUGGGGUUGUGUGAGAGAGAUACAAACCUAGAGAGAUAUAGUGUGUGGGUUCUUGAGAGUUUUUUUUGAGGGGGGAGUUCAAUCAAAAAAUGUAACAUACACAAUGUGUGUGAAAUAGAGUCCUGGAUAUAACAUAUAUAUAGAGGGGGUGAUCCACGAGAAGAGAGUGGAGGUAUCACCGGCUUGAGGUGUCCAUAGAAUCGAAAAGAGGGAUGAUGUGUGUGUGUGUGCACACGCGAUCGAUAAAGAGUGCCAUCGAAUUUGUGUGUGCCCACGUCAAAGAUAUAGAGUGGCUGGCCUACUGGAACGUGAGAGGGGACAUGUGCAGUUUGUCUCUAUGGCAUGGAUACCUACCUGCAGCGCUCGACUAUCGGUGUGUGGUGGGGGAAGAGGGAGGCCCAAUUAACUAUAGAGGUACAAUGGCUGGUAUAUGUGUGUAGGAGGAGAGAGGCCUACCUCAUGUAUUAAGGAGAUCGAUCUGCCUCAUGUAUUAAGGGAGAUGGAUCGGCAUCCAUGCAUAUGUUGGAGGGGGUGGUAGUGGAGUUGCUUCUAACAAGUGGUGGGAUAGGCUUGCUAGACAAACGGAGGGCACGCCCGCAAUAUCAAUAAGAGAUGAGAUGUCUGCUUGUUGUCUGUGCACGUGCGUGUGAGAGACGGGUCAGGAGGCAUGCACGAAUGAUGAGGGGGGACGAUGUGGCUGUGGUAAGCAGACAUAACUACAUAGGAAGAUCAAUCGCCCUUUGUUAGAGAAAGGAGAGACAUAACUUGUGAAGUACGUCGAUCGAUGGGGGGGUAGUUAAAGUCGAUCCAGGUAUAUGUUGGGAGAUCGAUCGGUAUACAUGCAUGUGUGUGUUAGAAGCAAACGAGGCACGAGGAGAAGGAUAGAUAUAGAGGGAUGCAUGUAGGAGGUGGUACGAGAGGCAUACUAUAUCGAGCGGGGAGGAGUGUGCGAGUACGAGAACAAUGAAAAGAGUGGUGGGAGUGAGGCAUGGACGGUGACAAGAGAAGAGGGGAAGCUUGUGUUUGUGCUAGGCACACCUGGCUAGAGAGGCAUAUCGAUCGAUGUGUGCCGUAAAGAAGGAGCUAGGGGGCCUACACACACCAUGGGGUGAACGACCUAAAGUGAAAAGAUGAAUUUGCACGAUGGAGCUAGAGAAUGCUGAGGGAGGGUGAGAGGGACGCGGGCGUGUGCAUGCACAAGAGAAAGUUAGCGCUAGCUACAAAAAUAAGAGGGUUGUGUGGGUGUAAAAGACGAAUAGAGAUCAUAUAUACUUCAUUAUAAAAAGCGAAUUCGGAUAUUUGAAGAAUUUAUCAAAGUGUUUUAAACCGACGUAUGUGUGAAUAUAUAUAACGGUGAUACACAUGGUGUGUUUAUGAACAUGUUAUACUACAUUUAAUAUAUUUUAUCUCUACUCUUAUAAAAAACGGAGUUGUUGAUGAUGGUGUGCCUGCCAUCCUGCAUUAUAGGUCGUCCGAUUUAUAUCUAGCGGAUAGCAAGGAAACUAUGAUGGUUGAAGUUGGCAACAACCAUGAUCGUGGAUUCUUAUUGAAAUAGAGAAACAAAUUCAAAUUUAGUUCGAAUUGCAGCGGUAGUAUAGACAUUUGGAAUGCACUAAAUAGUUUGGUAUGAGUAGGUUACAUGCAUUAUAUAGCAAAGCGAAAAAAAUUAAUCGGACAUAACAUGGAUUCAUACUCCCUCCUUCCAUCUAUAUAGGGUGUAAUGAUAUUUUUAAGACCUCCUUUGACUAUUGACAAGAUUAAUAGUACAUGACAUGCACAAUGUGAAAAUUAUAUCAUUGAAAGAACCUUUCACAGAUGAAGUUAACGGUGUGCUUUGUGUAAGUUCCAUGUCAUAUAUCAUUGCUCUAAUAUUUGGUCAAAGUUAGCAUCGAAAAACGCAUUAGGCCCUAUAUAGAUGGAAGGAGGGAGUAGCUUUGAAUAGCAUUUGUAUAGCAAAACGGGGCAAGACUCUCUCUUUGUGUGGUGUGAAUAGUUUUAUUUUUUCGUUUUCUUUUUGGUUGAGGGAAGUGUGAGUUGAUUUGGUACGUACAAGUACAAUAUUACUACAUGUUAGGCUUGUCCCUAAAAUUCAACCCGCGUCUUGUUAUAUCCCGAAAAUUCAGAUAUCGUGCUCCCGAAACUGGCGCCUUCACAACCUGCGCCUUGCUAUCCCGAAAUUACAAUGCGCACGAAAACUCCCUCCAGCUGCCAAAUCCCGACACGCGAAAUCCCCCUUCUAACCCUGAGCCGAAAGGGCCGCUAGUUCAAAUCAGUGGGGGGGUACUUUUGUAGCACACCCUACAUUUUGGACAAGCGCGUCCCUAAGUAAUGCUUCACCCCCUCCCAUCGCCCGCUUUUCGCCAUUCGAAAUCCCAGGCCACCAUAACCUCUCCGCUCCAGCCAUGAAACCCCACCCUCCUCCGUCCGCCACGUCACCGCUGCCCAGCCGGAGCCUCUUCCCCGACGACGUCAUUCACCGCAACAGCUCGAUGUCCCUCGUGCACCUCCCCGAAUGAGGAUCCGUCGUCCAUCUCGCCGUCCCGCCGGAUCAGCCGCCCCGUCCUCCACCUCCAAGGAGCUGCCCCGACAAUCACCUCGUAUAUCGCAGCUACUUCAUCCCCGCAGCACCGCCUUAACCUGCUCCACCGGAACCGCAGCAUCCUCACCAACUCCUCGGACGAAGCUGAGGCCUACUCGGCGCCACCAAAGAGGUUGUACACUCAUCGCAUUGCACCUUCUCCUUAACUCGACCUCCCGGCGCCGACGGUGCUCCAUACCGCACCGCCAUGGAGCGGCUACCUUGAAGCCGGCGCCGCGGGCGACAUCUCCACGGCGGCUCUCCCCCAGUGCGAAGCCCCUUCGGCGACGGCGUCCAUACCAGCCGGAUCUGCUGCUGCUGCUCCGGCUCUCGCUCGCUCACUCGCGCUGCUGCUGCUGCUCCGGCUCUCGCUCGCUCGCUCGCGCUGCUGCUACUGCUCCGGCUCUCGCUCGGUCGCUCGCUCGCCCAGCUGCUGCUGCUGCUCUCCCCCUCUCUCGUGCUGCUGCUCUGCUCCGAUUAAGCCACACUUCAGUCGACUGAAUUGACUUUUGGGUCAGUCGAUUUUCAGGGGUUGGGGGGGAGGGCUCGCCGGAGUUAAGGAAGAACCACCCGCCGGAGAAGUACAGUCUGGUUCGGGGGGCCUGCCGGAGAGGUACCCCACUAUCUAUCUUAGGGUUCAUGGUGGAGGGGGGGCCUAGAGGGCUGGCCGGGGUGUCGGUGGCGAGUUGUUUCGGGGCGGCGAGGCGGCGCUUGAGCCGGCGGCGAGGCCGGUGGUGGCAGGCGGCUCAGGGGUGUGCAGGUUGAAGAUGAACUGCAGGCCCUCCCUAAACUACAUGUCAAGUGUCUCUCUGCUACCAUUGCAUUCAGUCUCGACAUUAGCAUUCAGAUUCCACAGUUAAUUUCAGUUUCGACAGUUAAGUUCAGAGUCAACAGUUUUUACCUCAUCUAUUGUAGUCAGGUGGUUUUUGGUGAUGUUAAUUUUACAUCCAUUUUUCAUCAUCUAUUGGAGAUGCUAUUAGAAUCCCACUUGAGAUUGACGAUGUCUGUCUUGUGUUGCUUCAGCAUUGACCUCUUACGGCUCACUGGAGCUGCUCCAACGACAGAACGAUCCAUCACAACAGAGCAGUGCCCUAGACGCCGUCUACAGAUUCCUCAGAUCUUCCUCCACACCUCCGACAGCCACCUCUGCCUCAACUGCUUCAGCGACCAACCCAAUGAUGCUGAGGUCGACACGGCUACGGCAAAGAGGUUGUACACUUGUUGUGUUAGUUAUUACUAUACAUUCACGUCGAUCCAUUAGGGUUAUUUUGGUUCAACGGAAAAACGUUGAUCCACUGGUUGUUACCAUCACUCUAAAUUUCUGCAUGCUCUCCUUACAUAAUCUCACCAUAUUUUUUUCGUAUGCAUGUCAGAUAUUCUACACAGUCAUGCUGAACAUGUAGAGAAAAAGAGAAGAGUUUUGCGCGGCAAUACAAUGUCAUGCAGACAUUGCUCCAUGGUGGGUUCAAUGGCAAACCCUCCCCACCCCUCUCCAGAUUGUAAUCCAGAGGAAGAUAUCUGUUCUGAGGCGUAUUCAGACACCGCUGACCACUCCUAUUUACCCGCCAAGGUGUUUGCUCUACCUUGGCAUGAUGAUGUUAGUCAUAUCAUGCAUAUGUUGCCUUGCAGUGCCUACUUUUGACAUCAUAUAUGUCAUCUGCUUAGUUUAGACAUGUUCUGUAAUGCCACCUAUUUAGUUUCUAUAUCAUAUAUGGGAAUUAUGCAGUCUCAUGUCUUUUAGCCAGCCAUAAUAUAUGUGAAAUGUGCAAUGCCAUCCUGUUUAACCAGGCAUCAUAUAUUUGAAUGAUAUCUUGCCCAUCCUUUUCUUCAUUACAUUUCCAUUUGUCGACAAUGUUUGUACAUUAAACUACUUUUCCUGUGAAUCGGCCAUUUGGGUGGGAGAUGGAAAAAUCUGGAGUGAAAACAAGGCCUUCAGAGCAGACAGUGCUACCUGUCGAAGCAGAUCUCUUGUUGGGUCCCGAUAGCUCCUCAGAGAUGGAUUUAGAGACAGAUGACCAGUCUUAUUCCCCCACUGAGGUGUAUGCUCUAACUUGGCAUGGUUAUACUACUGAUAUCAUGCAUACGGUGUCUUGCAUUGCAUAGUUUAGACAUCAUAUACACAAUAUUCAACACCAUGUUCUUAGUUCAGACAUCAUAUCGAAUGCCCUCUAUUUAGCAUAUAAAUCACAUAUGUGAAUUAAAUGAUGCGAUCCUGAUUACUUAGAUAACAUGUAGGUGAAUUAGGUCAUGCGAUCCUGUUUAGUUAUUCAUCAUAUCUUUGAAUUAUGUUAUGCUAUGCUAUCAAGUUUAGAUAGACAUCAUAUAUGUGAAAUUAUGUCAUGCUAUCCGUUUUAGUUAAACAAUAUCAUGUCAACUAUUUCAUGCCCUCUUUUUUCCACAGUAUCUAUUGCAUCCGUCUCAUACAAUGUCUGUACAUUCAACUAUGUUUCCUGUUUAUCAGCCAUUUGAAUUGGAGUGGGUGAUGCCAGUAUCUAGCGGAAUAAAAACACGGUCUUCAAUUAAAACAGUGCUACCUCUUGGUGGAGAUAGACCCUGGUUGUACAUGCACAAGAACCAGCCCUACCACACAUAACCCAAACUCUCGCAGAUUGUACCCCUACUGCGAUGGACAGAGAACCAGCUUCACCCAAUCUAACCCCAACCCCAGCCGAUAGUAACCCAGUUCCUGUUGACACAGCACCAUCUCCACCACAGAGCUCCCAAACAACAGCAGUUAGUAAGGCAGCUCCAGUGCCCAAAGGGCCAGUACUAUCACGGCGAACCCCAACUCCACCAGUUAGUACGCCUAUUCCUGUGGAGGAAGCACAACCAGCCAGUCGUAGUUUAGCAUCUAUCGCAUUUGAUGUUGUUAAAUCGUAUGUGCGUAUCUUCCCAUCUUGGAAAUAUUAUACUGAAGAUGAAGGAAAAUGCCAGUUGCAGGUGUUUGUCCAGGAGUUAUGUGUAAGUAAUGUUAUUCAUGGCAAUUACUUUGCUUCGUCCCAUAAAUCCUACCUCCAUGGUGGUUAUAAUACAACCAAUUUUCCCAUUUUUCUCUAUAGAGAAGGACCGAUUUUGAAACUCAGGAUGAGGUACCCUGUGCUAAUACCUCUGCUAUCUUCAAGAAUGCUUGGUGGCAGUAUCGGAAUUACCUGAAGAAAACGUACUUCACCGGCAAAGAAACUCAUCAAAUUCCCUUACAUUCUCCUGAGACACAUUUACUGGAGGAUGACUGGGAACGCCUUGUUCUGUACUGGUCCCGAACCAAGAAUGUGGUAAGGUCUAUGAGCUCAUUUUCUAUUUUAAGUAUUUUAUUCUUGCAUCUUACUGUACUCUGUUCAUGCAGAACAAGUGCCUAAACCUGAAGAACAACUGUUCUAAUUUAAGAUUCCAUUGCUAUCAUAGUUCGAAAAAGCGCUAGGCAUUAAUUGUGCGUUUUGCCACCGCCUUGCGCUUUACUGACCAAAGCGCAUGCUUAUGCGUAGUUAUGCACAGAUUAUGCAUAGUUAUGCGCAAUGCGUUUUGCCAACGCCUAGAGCCUAGGCGCGCUUAAGCGCUCGCUUAGGCGCGCCUUUUUUAACUAUGAUUGCAUUGCUCUUGUAUCACUGUAUUUACUGAUACGAACUUAUUUUUAAAUUGAAGGAUCCAAUCGAAACUCCAAUGGCACAACAGGUAUGUUCAUGCAUGUUUCUUUAACAGGUUUGCUCUUAUCAAUAGCUCUGUUGAUUUCAAUUUCAAUUGUGUAUAUAGUUGAGUUUCAAAUCAUGCACAUUACUAGCAUCACAACAGAGCCAAUAGUGUUGUUGUACAUGUAGACCCGUGGUACCCAUCUGAAAUCUUGUUGUGCCGUGUAGUUUCCCACGCUUUGUAUUCUUUCACUGCUGCUUUGUCUUGAACUGAUAUGAUUUGAACCGUGUCUCUAUUUUGAUUUGGCAAGACAAUGAAGUGACCAUAGGACAUAGAUAUAUGUUUUGAUGCUUUUAUUAUGUACUAGUACUUGGCAGUAGAAGACUUGGUAGUUUAAUCCUGUCCACCUUACUAAUGAACUGGUUCACCGAAAUGAGUUUCAUAUACUAGUACAUGCUAAACUUGUUAUGUGUCUGCUUGUUUCUUCUUUUAGAAUGCUGACAGAAUAUUGGGGAAGAGUGCCUUAUUAAGAAAUGGUAAAGGAAGUAAUGCAGAUAAGGUUCAGGAUAGUGACACAUCCUUGUUGGUCUCCAACAAAGCUGAUAAAACAGCUAAGGAAGACUAUCUUGAAGAUAGCGAGACAACCCCAAAGUCCUGUCUUGGUUUAGUGUUCGAGUUACUGGCCACUACCGCAUGCACAAGCUAUUCAAACUCACUGUCUGAAUCAGUUCAGUUUCUUGAGUCUCAACUACAAGCUGAAAGACAUCGAUCAGCUGUGCUGCGACAAGAAGCGAAAGGACUGCGGAAGUCCCUGGAGCAUUCAGAUGCAUACUUACUGGUGCAACAGCAAGCGUUGGAGGAUUUUAGCGCCAAACAGGACAAAGCUAAUCAGCUUGCUAAGCUUAUUGCCAGCAUGGUGGAUACCCAGGAAAACAUUUCUUGAGCUCUUCCGAAGUUGUUUCAGUUAUGCUCUUGUUUUGCUGCCGCAUUUAUUUGCACUGGUGGCCAAUUUUGACGGCCAAGUGUAUGUAAUAUGAUGCUUUGUUCCCUAUAUUUGCACUGCUGGCGAACUUUGAUGCCCAGUGGAUGUAAUAUGUGUAAUAGCGGUAAUAUGCUAGCCUUAAUUGCUUGCUUAUUUAUUUCCUUAUUUUCUUGUUUAGUUGUUUGCUUGUAGUCACUGCAGUUCUUUUUCUGUGUUUUUCUAGUGGCGACAAUAGCCUAUUUUUUGUAACUAGGCUAUAAGUGCAUCUAGUGCCCCUUAGUGAUUUUGGUGUAUCGAAGACUUAUAGGUUAAGGGACUAAUGUGUUUAUGAGUGUCCACAGGUCUAUAAGUCUAUGAGGAGUUUGAUAUUUACAGAGAAAGUCCACCCCUAAAAAUGAAGUUCUUCGACUGAAGACUUUGAUAUUCUGAAGACUCUCUGAAGACUUUGAAAGUGAAGAAAUUGGUGUGACCUUGAAGACUUGGUAUUCAAUUGAGGAACAUGAAGCGUGAAGACUUUUGUUUUUGUAGUUUCAUUUUCUCUUUCUUGAGUCAUAGGAAACACCGUACUGUUAAAGGAGGUCGAGGAAAUACUAAGGAAAAAUUUCCAUGUGAUGCUCAACUCAAAAUCCUACACCUACCAAUCCCUUCAAGUGAAGCCUUUGGAAAUCUCAUACAGUUCAGUCAAUUUCUUCAGUGACAGAGACGAAGUUCUUCUGGUUGCUAAGGAAUUUGUUCUGACUGAGGAGUUAGGAAUUCGCCAGUGCGGAUUGCCUACACAGUGAGGAACAUGAUAGCCCUGAGGAAUUUGAGAGUCAAAUUUCCGACCGUUGCUGUGCUGCGCGCCAGCUGUCCCAAAAUAUCUUAUCCACCUAACGGUCAUAUCAUUGAAGGGCAUUUAUGUCUUAUCAUGUUGGGCUGCUCCCUAGGCUAUAAAUAGCCGCCCCCUACAACCACUAGCUGGUUGGCUGCUUCGAGAGAACCUGACACUUGUCAUUUGAGAGCAACCCAUCCUCCGAGGACUUUGAGUGAAAAUCAUCGAGUGAGGAAAAACCCAAAAACCAAACCCCUACAAACCCAAAGUGAUUGAGCAUCACUAAAGAGAUUGAUCCUGCGUGGAUCCAACACUUGUUACCUUUGAAGAUUGUGCUUCUUCGAGACGGUUAGGCGUCAUGGUCUAGAGCAUCCAAGAGGAAUUGUGGAUCGCCGAGUGACCAAGUCUGUGAAGGUUUGGAAGUCGCCUGAAGACUUACCACGAGUGAUUGGAGGAGGUCUGUCUGACCUUAGUUCAAGGAGAAUACGGUGAGGACUUGGUGUCCUGAGCUGCGUUCUCAGCGACUGGGUGUCCGAGACUGUGUGUCCUCGAGUUUAAAUACUCAGCCGCUCCAACCAGAUGUACAACUGAGACAACAGUUGGAACUGGUCUACCAAAUCAUUGUCUUCACCAACCUUCCUGGUUCUAUUCCCUCAACUCUUUCAUUUCCUCAUUACUGUAUUGAGUGAUUGUUUGUAUCUGUGUUUGAAGACUUUGACUGAAGACUUUCUCAAUUUCCUCAGUUCAAUUUCUUCAGUCUACUUGUCUUCAUCUUGUGUUAUCCUGUGACUACACUUUCUGUACUCUGUGUUUGUCUUCAUUUCAUCAUGAUGACUAAGCCUGCAUUCUGUUAUGCUUACUUCUGAGUACUUAUUCUGCUGCAAGUAGUUCUUCGCUAAGGAAUUUCCUCACCGGCAAAUUCCUCAGUGAAGAAUUCUUAAAAAUCGCCUAUUCACCCCCCUCUAGUCGAUAUAACGUACUUUCAAUUGGUAUCAGAGCAAGGUACUCCCUUUUUCUGUGUGAUUUUGGUUUAACCACCUUGAGUUUUAGUUAUGUCGACCGCAGGUAUGAAGAAAGUGACAUGCCCUAUCUUUGACGGUCAUGAUUAUCCCAAGUGGAAGGCCAUGAUGAGGAAGCGCCUCAUGGCAAUGGACAGCGAGCUGUAGACCGUCACUGAAAUUGGUCUUACUGAUCUGUGCAAGUCGGCAAACGCAGAUGAUAUUCGCAAGUACACUCGACUUGACAUCAUGGCGAAGGACAUCAUCUGUUCCUGCCUAUCCAGAGAUGAAUUCAAGCGCAUUAUGCAUCUUUGCAAUGCGAAGCUUAUCUGAGACCGAAUCUCUGAUGUCUAUGAAGGUCAUCGAACCCGUCAUGAUCCUUGGUUUGAGGACUUCAAGGAAUCUCUCAAAACGAUGACUUUCGAACCAGAAUCAUCAUCUUCUGCAUCAUGUCUCAUGGCAAAGGGUGACAAGGUAACCGAAUGUUCCUCAUCCGAGUAUAGUGACGAUGAAUCUGAUGAUGAUGGAUCUGAUGAUGAUAUUGAACCGAGCUAUACCAAGCUUGUUUGUAUUGCCACCAAACAACAACAUGCCUUGGAAAAGGUUCAAAACAUGUUAGGUAAAAGUGAUGAUAUGUUAGGUGAAGAAAUGGAUCGCACUAAUGCCCUGACUGAAAAUCUUCAGAGACUUCAGUCUAGGUUUGACAGCCUUCAAGGUCAUCAUAACACUCUCUUGACUGAUCAUGAGAAACUUUCUUAUGAAUUUCUUCAAAGAAAGCAAGAUCUUGAGAAGCUAAGAGUGAGUUAUGAAGAUCUUCAGAAGGAGCGCGAUUCAUUACUUGCUCAACAAAUCAGAGCUUCUCAGGAAGAAUCUGUUCCUCCAUGCUUAAAGUGCAUUGAACGUGAAUCUGCUAAUUCUUCACCUGAAUGUUCAAAUGCUUCAACUGUUACAAAUUCUUCACCUGCUCCUGCUAUCACUAAUUCCUCAUCUGAGGACAUUGGUAGUAUCACUGACGAUGCAGGGCUGAAGGAAUUGUACAUGACAGGCAUGUACAAAAGCCUCAAAGGGCAUCAGACUCUUUGUGAUGUGCUUAAAAAGCAGAUCCUCAAAAGGAAUCCUAGGAAAGAGGGUAUUGCCUUUGAGAGGAAACUCAAUGCUGAUGGAACAUAUUGGAAGCCUGAGCAGUACCCCAAAACCUCAUGGGUUGCUGCAAAGGGACCUCCAGUUGAUCCAUCUAACUUAUCUGGCUUUACAUGUUUAUCUCCUCAUUCUUCUGAUGAGUCAUUUGACUCCAACUAUAAACUGUUCAAAAAUCAGAACGGUGAAGUAUUUGCUAGAUAUGUUGGCACUAACUGCAGGAACGGUUCCCCUAUGAAGAAAAUCUGGGUUCCCAAGAAGUGCGUUGAAAGUCUUCAGGUGAAUGUCCUCAUGACACCACCUGUGAAGAAUAGGAACCCCAGAUCAAACUCUUCAUAUGGACCAAAUUCUUCAUAUGGAUCCAAGUCCUCAUACGGACCAAAUUCCUCACGUGGAUGAAACUCCUCAAAAUAAUCAAAGUCCUCAUAUGAUUAUCAUCGUGCUAACAACUCUAUUUCGCAGGGUAGAGCUAAGGGCUAUGAAUAUGUGCAUUAUUCUUCAAACCAAUAUGUUCAUAAGUCCUCGAAGAAUUUCUCUGCUUAUUCAUAUGCUUACCCUAACCCCUCUUAUGUGAAACAAAAUGGAUUUGCCUCUAUGCCACCAUUCUCAUAUGGAUCUCGUAGAGUGAUGAACUCUUUGCCACCCCUUCAGAUGUGGGUGGUGAAGAAAAGGAACUAAUCUCUUCUGCAGGGUCAGGUCUCCAGACGUGCUUUAAUGUCUGAAGAAUUUGCUGGCCUGACAAAAAUGCCUGAAAGGACGCAGGCUAAUCAUGAAGAAAUGAACUUUCAUUUCACACGUCCUCAUACUGCUUAUCUGUUAUACUGCCUGAUGAAAUUCAUCUAAUGAAAUUGAUAUCAUAUUCUUCACUGAUGAAGUAUAUGAGAUCGUAAGUUGCACUAAUUCAUCUACAGGAUGAUCAACCCAAAGCCAAUGAGUGGGUUCUCGAUAGUGGAUGUACAAAUCACAUGACUGGUGACAAGAAUCUAUUGAUGGAUGCUCCCUUAUCACUGUCACAUCUGAAGCAUAUCAUCUUUGCUGACAAAGGCAAAAGUCAGGUAUUGGGUCUUGGUAAGAUUGCGAUCUCUAAGGACAUACACAUGGACAAAGUCAUGCUUGUUGAGUCCUUAGGAUACAACCUCAUGUCAGUCUCAAUGCUUUUGUUGUCUUUGGCAAGUAUCAUUGUGUUGUGAUCAUGGAAGCUGACAAUUCCAAAGUAUUCAAAGGCUUUAGGAGAGGAGACUUGUAUAUUGUUGAUUUCUCUAUAGGACCACAACCAGCCGUGUGUCUACUUGCAAAAGCUUCAGAAGGCUGGCUAUGGCAUCGACGACUUGGUCAUGCAGGCAUGAGGAAUUUGCACACGCUUGUGAAGAAGAAGCAUGUCAUUGGCAUUGAGAAUGUCAAAUUCCUCAAGGAUCACUUGUGUGGAGCCUAUGAAGCUGGAAAAAUGACCAAGGCCAAGCAUUCAGCGAAGACUAUCAUGACCACUACUCGACCAUUCGAAUUGCUUCACAUGGACCUCUUUGGUCCUAAUCAUUACUCAGCAGUCACUAAUGAUGCAUCUCUAUAUGGCUUUGUUAUUGUUGAUGAUUAUUCUCGUUACACAUGGGUACGCAUUGUUACUUACAAGCAUGAAGUGCAGGAAGUCUUCAAACGAUUUUCCUCGAGGGCUUCAACCAACUUUGGUGUGAAGAUCAAGCACAUCAGGAGUGACAAUGGAACUGAGUUCAAGAAUUCCGGUCUUGAUGACUAUCGUGAUGAACUUGGUAUUACUCAUGAGUUAUCUGCUCCUUAUACUCCUGAGCAAAAUGGCGUCAUGGAGCGCAAGAACAGAACUCUUGUUGAGAUGGCGUGCACUAUGCUUGAUGAAUACAAAACACCUCGUCAUUUUUGGAUUGAUGCAAUUGAUACCGCGUGCCACAUCAUCAACAAAGUAUAUCUUCACAAAUUCUUCAAAAACACUGCCUAUGAACUCCUCAGUGACAAGAAACCCAAUGUGAGUUAUUUCAAAGUCUUCAAUGCUAAAUGUUGGAUUAGAGAUCCUCAUCACAAUUCUAAAUUUGCACCGAAAGCACAUGAGGGUUUUAUGCUUGGUUACAAAAAGGACUCGCACACCUACAAAGUCUUCAACAAUGUUCUUUAUAAGAUUGUUGAAACUGUAGAUGUGCGGUUCGAUGAAACUAAUGGCUCGCAAAGAGAGCACCUGCCUUCUGUUAUAGAUGAACCAAUGCCUGAGGAGUCUAUCAAGUUCAAGGCGACUAAGGAUGUCAUUCCUACUGAAGAAUCUGCUGAAGAAUUCAUUCCAGAAUGCGAAGAACGUCGAGCUGAUGCUCCUGAGGAUAAUGCUGAAGAAAAUGGUGCUAAAGAAAAUGCCGAUCAAAUUCCUCGACGACAACCAGCUCAUCCUCGCGUUGCAAAAGAAGUGCAAGUUGACAAGAUCAUCGAUGACAUUGAAGCACCAGGUCCUCUCACAUGCUCAAAAGCUUCACAUUUAUCUAACUUUUGUGGGCACUAUGCUUUUGUCUCUAUCACAGAGCCCACUAAGGUAGAUGAAGCAUUUCUGGAGCCUGAGUGGAUUCAGGCAAUGCAAGAAGAAUUACAUCAAUUAGAGCUCAACAAUGUCUGGGAACUGGUCAAACGUCCAGAUCCUCGCCAGCAUAAUAUCAUUGGCACAAAGUGGAUCUACCGCAACAAGCAAGAUGAAAAUGGCCUUGUGGUGAGGAAUAAGGCACGACUUGUAGCUCAAGGCUACACACAGGUUGAAGGAAUUGAUUUCGAUGAAACUUUUGCACCUGUUGCUAGACUUGAGGCUAUUCGCAUAUUACUUGCUUAUGCUAACCAUCAUAAUAUCAUUUUAUAUCAAAUGGAUGUGAAAAGUGCAUUCCUCAAUGGUAAGCCUGAGGAAGAAUUAUAUGUUGCUCAACCCCUAGGUUUUGAAGAUCCAAAGAAUCCCGACAAAGUCUUCAUACUCAACAAGGCCCUCUAUGGCCUCAAACAGGCCCCACGGGUGUGGUAUGAUACAUUGAAGUAAUUCUUCAUGAAGAAUGGCUUCACACCCGGUUCACUCGACCCUACUCUCUUUACUAAAUCAUAUGAUGGUGAACUGUUUGUGUGCCAAAUAUAUGUUGAUGAUAUUAUUUUUGGCUGUACUGACCAACGUUAUAGUGAUGAAUUUGCCUAUAUGAUGAGUGAAGAAUAUCAAAUGUCUAUGAUGGGAGAAUUGAAAUUAUUCUUAGGUCUUCAAAUUCGUCAACAACACAAUGGCAUAUUCAUAUGUCAGGAGAAAUACCUCAAAGUUGUUCUGAAGAAAUUUGGCAUGCAAGAUUGCAAAGGCGUCAAAAUUCCUAUGCCCACAAAUGGCCAUCUAUGCACUGAUGAAAAUGGUAUUGACUUCGAUCACAAGGUAUACCGCUCCAUGAUUGGUUCUCUAUUGUACUUAUGUGCAUCUAGGCUAGAUAUAAUGCUUAGUGUUUGCAUGUCUGCCUGAUUUCAAGCUACACCGAAGGAAUCACACCAUAAGGCUGUGAAGCAUAUUCUUCGAUAUCUAGCUCACACACCAACACUAGGAUUAUGGUACCCCAAGGGCUCUACGUUUGAUCUCAUCGGAUAUUCUGACUCUGACUAUGUUGGUGAUCAUGUGGACCGCAAGUCAACAUCUGGUACUUGUCAUUUCCUCCGACGAUCUUUGGUCUGUUGGUCCUCGAAGAAACAGAACUGCGUAUCACUGUCUACUGCGGAAGCUGAUUACAUUGCUGCUGGCUCUUGUUGUGCUCAAUUGCUGUGGAUGAAGCAAACUCUCAAGGACUACGACAUCAACGUGAAGAAUGUGCCUCUCUACUGUGACAAUGAGGGUGCCAUCAAGAUUGCUCACAACCCAGUUCAGCACUCUAAGACAAAGCACAUUCAGAUUCGUCAUCAUUUUCUUCGUGAUCAUGUGUUGAAGGGCGACAUCUCCAUCGAGCAUGUGAAGACUGAAGAACAGCUGGCCGAUAUCUUCACAAAGACCUUGGAUGAGAAGAGAUUUAGCAAGUUGCGGUGUGAGCUAAAUAUCUUAGAAUCUUCGAAUGUUCUUUGAAAAGGACACACAUCCUGACACUUAUGCAAAAUUGAUGACUUAGAUGUGCAACAGUCUAAGUGUGAAGAAAUUAAUGAAGAAUUUGAUUCUCAGAACCCUACGACAAUUGUACGUGGUGUCUGAAAUCAUCAUUCUUAUACGGUGGGUCACGCCACCACCAAAGUUGAAAAUCUUCACUGUGUCCUUGUUAGCUGAAGAAAUUGCGAACGGAACUUUUAACUUAUCUUAUCCAAAUUUUCGGCUUUGCCUCUCAAACCAAUCCGCAUCCCAUGAUAAACUUAUCUAUUCACCCAUGAUCUAACACGAUCUCCACCUUUCAGUCGUGGGUGACACAUGUCAAGCGAAUGAGAAGGGCCAGGGGCACGUUUGUCCAAAAUCUUCGGGCGAACGGUUUUUCACAGUGGCUAUAUAUACCCCCUCUCCCCUUCCUCACUUCCUUUACUCCGCUCGACCGCUCACUCUCUCGCUCGAGCUUCUCAAACCCUAGCGCCGCCGCUACUCCAUCGUCGCCGGUGAGGAAGAGCUUCACUGCCUCGACCUCGUCACCGUCGUACUCGCGCCGACCGCGGAAAUCUUCACUCCGCCGCCGCCGUAGUUGUCUUCCUCCACCGAGUUAGGGCGUGGGAGAUCUGAACUGACGAACUUCUAAUCUACACUUAUCAGUUCGUCGUGUUCUUCAGUUCGGGUAAUUAAAAGUUACUUUUAUUACUCGCUUUGAUUCUCAAACCUUCCUGAAAAUCUUCAAAGGUGUUUAUUCUUCAAAUCUUCACAAAUAUGAACAUGUCAAACGAAAUAUGCUCUUGAUUCCUCUCUCUAAGCAAUGAUUUUUCUUCAAGAUUCCUCAAUUGUGUGGAUCCUCGAUCUAUACAACUCUGGAAUCUAAGACAAAGAUCGCUUAGUGAAAUUCUUCAAGGCUCAUCUGGUCAAAUUCCUCAAACUAGUUCUUUUUGAAAAACCUUCUGAGAACGCAUAUGACCUCUCCAAAUUCCUCGCAACUAUUCUCUGUUCACAGGUACUCAUGUCCGCUGCUGAAUCACUAGGUUCUCAUCAACUUAACUCAUUUGUAGCGUUCCUCGAAGAAAAGUUGCAUACUUCUUCAGAGAAUUCGAUUGUUCAAAUUCCUCAGCUGAAGAAUAUGGCAGAAGGAAAGAAGCCACAGAAAGGAGGAAAGAGGCCUGAGGUAAUGACUGCUUUCGAGAUACAUGAGGACAUAUACGCUGACUAUUGCACACCUGAUGAAUCCAAGUUUGGCAAGGAAAACAAAAAUCAGCGCAAGGUGCGCAUUCAUAGGAUUGAAAGGAGAUGGGCAAGGGAAUGGAGGGAGUAUAGAUAUGUUACUCCAAAGUACAUGAAGAAAUUCACACUGAAUCCUCCAUGCCCAAGAGAUCCAUUGGCACCUGGCCAAGAGCUGACCCCACCAGCUUCAAGCGUGGUGAGGACUUUCUUGAAGAAUGGGCCAAGCGCCAAGCCAAGUUGGCGAGACAAGCCAAAGAAGCAGUGAGGAAAUUCAAUGAAGACUCUUCUACUGCUGCUGCCACUGAGGCCCCUGUUCAGCCCAUAAGAUCAAUGGCAAAGAAGCCAGCGCACAAGCCAAGUGCUUCACCAACAGUGCCCUCACGGCCAAAAUCCUCAGCAAUGCCCUCACGGCCAGAAUCUUCAAUGCCCUCACAGCCAGUUCCUCAUGCUGCUUGUCGGUGUCAAAACCGGCGGAUCUUGGGUAGGGGGUCCCGAACUGUGCGUCUAGGCGGAUGGUAACAGGAGACGAGGGACACGAUGUUUUUACCCAGGUUUGGGCCCUCUUGAUGGAGGUAAAACCCUACAUCCUGCUUGAUUAAUAUUGAUGAUGUGGGUUACAAGAGUAGAUCUACCACGAGAUCAAGGAGGCUAAACCCUAGAAGCUAGCCUAUGGUAUGAUUGUUGUCUGUCCUAUGGACUAAAGCCAUCCGGUUUAUAUAGACACCGGAGAGGGCUAGGGUUACACAGAGUCGGUUACAAUGGUAGGAGAUCUACAUAUCCGUAUCGCCAAGCUUGCCUUCCACGCCAAGGAAAGUCCCAUCCAGACACGGGAUGAAGUCUUCAAUCUUGUAUCUUCAUAGUCUUGGAGUCCGGCCGAUGAUGGUAGUUCGGCUAUCCGGACACCCCCUAGUCCGGGACUCCCUCAGUAGCCCCUGAACCAGGCUUCAACGACGACGAGUCCGGCGCGCAUAUUGUCUUCGGUAUUGCAAGGCGGGUUCCUCCUCCGAAUAAUUUAUAGAAGAUUGUGAACACCAGGAUAGUGUCCAGCUCUGCAAAAAUAAAUUCCACAUACCACCGUAGAGAGAAUAAUAUUACACACGAUCAAUCUGCUGACGUAUUCUGUGGCGUAACAUCACACCACUUCCAAGCCUUUACUCGAAUUGUUUUUAUUGUUCCACCUCAGCGCGUUUAGCGAGGCAGUUUCCUUGGCACGUCUUGUCGAAGCAGAGAUCGUGUUCCCCUUAUUUCGGGAUUCCCAUUAAUAUGGACGUGGGUAACCCAACCGCGCCUGUUGCCACGCCCCCUCCAUUGAAGGCGGGUUCCAAACGGUCACGGGGACGGCUCUUGGUAUUCUUCCUCUUUAUAAAGAGACCAAGGCCCGUUCUUUUUAUUCAAUCCUCUACCGAAUCCGCCCCUCUCCCUGAGUUCCAACACCCAGGGAUCCGAAUUCAGGUACCUUCGAUCCUCGACAAUGUCCGGUCCUGAUCUACGAGGCCGGUGGAUGCCCUCCUCCGUCACGGAGGAGGACGUGCUAAAGCUGAGAGAUGCCAGGUAUUUAACCUACGAGAUUUUGCAUAGGCUGCCUGCCCGAGGGCAAGUUAUCCCAACUCCCGAGCCUGGUGAGAUCGUCGUGUUCACGUCACAAGGUAGUGAGACGUGAACACGACGAUCUCGCCAGGCUCGGGAGUUGGGAUAACUUGCCCUCGGGCAGGCAGCCUAUCAUGAAGGGAUCCGUCGGGAAGCAACUCGACCUGCAGAUGCGGACAUCUCGCUGGUCAAUAGAGGACUUGAUGAGUCACAAGUUAUGUGGUUGCCCCGCGGUUGGUUAGUAAGGGAGCUGACGCCCAUUCCUUACAAAUUGUAUGCUUAGAUGCAGAUGGUGCUGCUGCUGUGGAGGACCUUCGAGCAGAACUUGCUCGGGCCAAGGAGCAAGCCAGAAAGAGCGAGGCGGCUGCCUUGAAGGCAGCGGAAGGGUUAGAAGCCGAGAAGGCUGCUCACUGCCAAAGCAGGGAGGAGAUGGCUAGAAUGGCCAUGAAAUUAAGAGUUGCUACCGACCGCCUGGAAGUUCUUGAAGGAGAACGCCGAGCGGAGCGAGAGGACCUGAAGAAGGCCGAUGCCGAGGCCAAGGAUGCCCGUAGUGCGAUGCGGGCUAUGAAGGAGGAACUGCGUCAGGUCGGAGACAUUGUGGCUGGAAAGCCCUUUAUGCUGCGUAGGAAGUUCACGGAUCCGAAGUAUGCUCAGCUGGGCCGAUUGUACGGUGCGGAGGAUCCUUAUCUGGACUUGGCGGCGAGUGCGGCUGACGCAGUCGUGCACUUUCGAAGCCAGGAGGAUCAUGAAAUGGAAGAGCUUUUCUGGUCUCAAUUCCAUAGUCCGGAGCGUCCACUUCUGUUGAGUGAUCGGCUGGUUGAGUGGGCUGAGCUGAAUAGAUUGUCCGGACUGGCCAUGACGGAUGUGGUAACUCAUCUGUGGCCGAAAAGGCCCAAGCCGAAGAGUUAUUUUGGCUUGUUGCAGCAAUUCCUUGGGGCAGUGCCGCAUAUUAAGGCGGUGAAGCGGUCGGCAUGCAUAGAAGGUGCGCGGAUGGCUCUCGCCCGUGGUAAAACAUACUGGGCGGAGAUGGAUGCCACCGCUGUUGCAUCCCAGGGUUCGGACAAAUGCCGAUUCCCCACCGAGCAUUACUUUGAGAAAGUCCUGCAGGGCGCUCAUAUAAUAGAGUCGCAAUGCUCGAAAGAUGUUAUGUUUGAAUGACAUGUAUGAUUUCUAAGAUCAUGUUUAUAAUGCAAUGACUUUUUAUACUUGUGUGUUCAAGUAUUAAACUAUCUCCUGUGUGGCCGUAUAUGUAUGUUUCUGAAAGAUGGCAGUCUUUGGCUUCAGCCCCCACGCACAUGGUGCGGGGGUGUUUGCAAAAAGAAAAACGCUUUUUCACACUUAAUCCAACGUCUUGGUCCUUUUAAGGAGGUGAUAGCAUAGCAAACUAGGCAACCGGACUAUAAUGCUUUAUCCCUUUCACUUAGCCAUAGGAGCUCGAAUGUGGGGCUACUAUAUAGCCCCUGAUGGCACCGCGCUCCUCCGAACUUGGGGCGCGUAUGUGCCUGACCGGGAAGCGGUCCUUCGUCAAAGCGGAGGAAUUCUAAAUAUUCCAAUGGUCGAUCGAGUGGUUGACCAGUCUCUUGCUAUAUCAUGACAGUCAGUUUUCGGCUUUCUCUACUAAGGUGCUCUCCCGGCCGAACCGGGGCACAAUCGCAGUAGUUCUCCUGGUGCCGCGUUAGCCGAUGAUACGGAACGUAAGGCAGCAAAACACAGGAGCCGGGCAAACCCAACAUUUGACCAAAGACAUGAUUCGGAGCUGAUGCAUAUAAGGCCUAACUCGAGACGCCGAACACUCCCUGAGGUGUUCGGUCUUUAUGAUAUCGGGCAGAAUAAACGCCCUAAGCCCCUAGUGUCCAGGUACAGGCGGGAACUUCUGACGCGGCCGAUGCCAAAACGCCAGCCUCCUCCUCGGCUCUGGUAAGAAACCGGGGGAUGUUUAUCAACAAGAGACAGUGAGAAAGGUUUACGCAGGGUCUUAAUCUGAAAAGAAUCCUUGCAACGGGUCCCUACUGCACAUCCGCGCCUGUGUCUCCAUUGUGCUGUAUCCUGGACGGGUGUAGCACGUGCUUCAUCUGUAAAAGAGAAGGACUUAGUUUCUAAGAAAUAUCAUGCAAAAAGUGUAUCAAAAUAAAGUAUAAUUUGGAAGAUGAAGAAAGUUGAGCUUUAUUAGCUUUCAUCAUGUAUGCGCGCGGCCCCCUAAAAAAAGGGGUAUGCGGCUGGGAAGCCCCUUGUUAAGUUACGCCGGACUCGUCUAACCAUGUUCGAGGUCUAAAUGACCUGUUUUUAGGGGCUUUGACCUGCAAGGUCGGAAUAAUGUGUGGCUGUCUAGGCAGCCGCACAUUCUCCGUGGUUGAGAGACACCCGGAGUCUUAAGAAUAUGCCACGUGGACCGGGCAUUUUUAAGCGUAAGAGACGCGUAAUGUGGUAUUGCAUUAAAGCGGGCGAAAGCUGCAUGCCCCAGUAGUGCUUAAGGGCUACUGCUAAAUGGGGCGACGGAGGGUGAGCUUUUCGCGAUAGAGGUUGUCGGAUGAACCGAACAUGACCCCUAGUGGUACAGAGCCUGUAAAAUUGGCUAAAAAGGCCUGGCGUCACUCCUUUGAAGGAAGUGCUUGCUAUAGCAAAUUUUGGUGGGUUCUAUCCCCAGUCUGCGGAUGGUGUCCUGGUAUAGCAGGGGCCGCGCUGUGUGUUAUCACGUGAAGUGAGUUCACUGUUUUGACUUCUAAUGGGAAAGUCUUUUGGUUUCCGGAGCGCUGCUUUUGGGUUUCGUCACUUUCACUUGGUGUGUCGAGCCCUUUGUGUUUGGUGUUAAGUCGGCCGGACUGCUUGAAGACCCAACAAUCUCUGUGGGUAUGGUUUGCAGGCCUCCCGGAGGUACCGUGUAUUUGACACUGUCUAUCCAGAAUCUUGUUGAGGUUGAAUAGCUCGUCACUGUUAUCCUUUAAGGGCAGUGUUUUGUUGUUCGGCUGAGAGCUUUUGAAUCCGGCGUUGACCGCCGUACUAUUUGGGCCAUUCUCCUUGUUCCGGUGCUAAUCUUUUUUGCGUCGUGAUUUCCCAUUUCCAUCCCUGAGUUCGGAUGUACUGGGUCGCUGGUGCUGCAUCUAGCCAACCAGCUGUCUUCCCCUGCGCAAAAGCGGGUCAUGAGACUUGUUAGUGCGGCCAUUGUUCUUGGUUUUUCCUGGCCGAGGUGUCUGGCGAGCCAUUCGUCUCGGAUGUUGUGUUUGAAGGCUGCUAAGGCUUCAGCGUCCGGACAGUCGACUAUUUGGUUCUUUUUAGUGAGGAACCUGUUCCAGAAUUUGCGUGCUGAUUCUCCGGGCUGUUGAGUUAUGUGACUUAAAUCAUCUGCAUCCGGAGGCCGGACAUAAGUCCCCUGAAAAUUUGCUCACAACGCAUCCUCAAGCUCUUCCCAACUCCCAAUCGUAUUUUCUGGGAGGCUUUUAAGCCAAUGUCGGGCCGGCCCUUUGAGCUUGAGGGGAAGGUAUUUUAUGGCAUGGAGAUCGUCUCCUCUUGCCAUGUGUAUGUGUAGGAUAUAAUCCUCAAUCCAGACUCCGGGGUCUGUUGUUCCGUCGUAUGCCUCUAUGUUUAUGGGUUUAAAUCCCGCUGGAAAUCCAUGAUCCAGUACCUCGUCGGUAAAACAUAGUGGGUGUGCGGUGCCCCUGUAUUUGGGUGUGCCGUUGUCUUCAAAUGCUCGGCUGGUUGUGUUACUUCCUGGAGUCUUCUUUUUUGGCCAAUAGAUAGACCGGGCCGGGUUAUCCUUUUUCUGAAGAUCUUUAUGCUGAUCAUAUGCCGGCUUGUGUGUGGCGCCCCGUGUUGCUCUUGGCCUGUCAUCUGGUCGUCUAUCCGGCCAGACGGCCCCUUUCUUUUUUGACUGCGGGGGCUCGAAGGCCUCCUCGUCAAAUUCGGGCAACAGCUUGCGCUUCGGGUAGCUCUUUGUCUGGUGGUUAGUGCCAUAUUUAUCUGCGGUGUUGAGUACUUUGCUCCAUCUCAUUCUGAGUGUGUCUUCUGCUGUUUUGAGCUUCUGCUUUUGCUUCUUCAAACUUCUUGCAGUGGCGACAAGCCUGUUAUGGAGAUUCAUAUGCUCUGGUGAUGUGAGAUCAUCUUCGCCAGGGAUGGGUUGCUUGUCCGGUUCAUGUUCGGCUGGCUGCUUGUUGACAUGUGCGUCGUCCACUGCUUCGCCCUGCUCUAGGGCCGGGUCCAUAUGGGUACCGUUUUUGUCGAUGCCAGUCUUCGGGCGGCACUUGCGUCGCCGCUUUGUUUGUCUGUUGGGGGAGUUGUCCUUCGCCACGUCCCGUUUUUCCUCAUUGCCGCUUCCUUUUGGUUUGUCCACCAUGCAUACGUUGUGGGAUGGGGUGGCUUUCCUGUGCCCGUUAGGCGCUGGUUCUUGGUCGACCCCGGCAUCGUCGUCCAUACCGUCGAUGUCUUCGGAGUCAUAGCCUAGCAUGUCAGUUAAAUCGUCGACAGCGGCUACCAAGUGGGUGGUGGGUGGGCUUUGAAUUUCUUCGUCGUCCGCAUCCCAGCCGUCCUGACCACAAUUUGGCCAGGUCUCUCCUGAUAACGAGAGGUAUUUUAGCGAACUCAAGAUGUCGCCAAAAGGUGAGUGUUGAGGGACGUCCGCUGCGGUGAACUCCAUGAUCGGCGCCCAGUCGGAUUCGAUCGGGGUGGGCGCGGGAGGUCCGGAGUCCGGCGAGGAGUCCGGCACCUUGGAGUCACGAGCUUUAUGAGGGACGAAGUCAGUGUUCGGCUCUAUCGCCGUAGAGGUUGCAGCCCCCGAGGCGGUGUCUAGGCAUCCAUCCUCGAUCUGCGGAGCUGGCUCCGAAUUGAAGAUCGGAGUGGUUUUGAGUGCCGCCACCAGGGUACUGUCCGGCUGUAGAGCUAAAUCAUGCCCAUCGUGAUAGUACAGCACGCUCGGGUGUGGCUCGAAUCCGUCGAGGAUCAAAUCCCCGCGGAUGUCAGCCGUGAAGUUCAAACUUCCAAAUCUGACCUGACGGCCAGGGGCGUAGCCUUCGAUCUGCUCCAGCUGGCCAAGCGAAUUGGCCCGCAGUGCAAAGCCGCCGAAUACGAAGAUCUGUCCGGGGAGGGAGGUCUCACCCUGGACUGCAUCGUCGUUGAUGAUCAAAGAAGCCAUCGAGCCUAUCGGUGACGACACAGAGGAACUCUCAAUGAAAGCACCAAUGUUGGUGUCAAAACUGGCGGAUCUCGGGUAGGGGGUCCCGAACUGUGCGUCUAGGCGAAUGGUAACAGGAGAUGAGGGACACGAUGUUUUUACCCAGGUUCGGGCCCUCUUGAUGGAGGUAAAACCCUACGUCCUGCUUGAUUAAUAUUGAUGAUGUGGGUUACAAGAGUAGAUCUACCACGAGAUCAAGGAGGCUAAACCCUAGAAGCUAGCCUAUGGUAUGAUUGUUGUCUGUCCUUCGGACUAAAGCCAUCCGGUUUAUAUAGACACCGGAGAGGGCUAGGGUUACAUAGAGUCGGUUACAAUGGUAGGAGAUCUACAUAUCCGUAUCGCCAAGCUUGCCUUCCACGCCAAGGAAAGUCCCAUCCGGACAUGGGACGAAGUCUUCAAUCUUGUAUCUUCAUAGUCUUGGAGUCCGGCCGAUGAUGGUAGUUAGGCUAUCCGGACACCCCCUAGUCCGAGACUCCCUCACUGCUCCUGGUCCUCCCAAAUCCUCAUCUCCUACGAAGUCCUCAGCAGCUCCUCCAAAUUCCUCAGCACCUGUGCAUCUGGCCACGUGCCAAAGGACUGCAGGCAUCUCUAUUGCCUCCGGUGUCUCAGCAAGUUGCUCAGCUGCACCAAAUUCUUCAUCAGGCCCCACUCUACUUAAGAAAAAGGCAACUGCUGGAUGAGGUCCUUGGCCAAGUCCGAAGAAGAAACAGGUCGCCUUCCAACUGCCAUCUGAUGAUGAAGCUGAUGAUGACGAACUUGCGGAAAUCAUCAAAGACCGACAAGAAAGGGCCGCUAGAGCCAAAGGCACACCUGUGCCACUGCUUUUGGAUCCAAGGGCGAUCCUCGAGUACAUUGAUCUCUGGCACAAGGAUCCAGAGACACCUAUACCUGAUUUUCAUCUGACACCUGGACAAAGUCACAUGCUGACCCAUUUCAUCUCUGAAGAGAAAUGGAAAUAUGAGAAGGCCAGACAGAUCAAGAAAGCACAGUACAGGAAGGAGAAAUUCCUGAAGAACAACGUUGUCUCUAUGACAACUGAUGAACUUGUGAAGAUCCAGUCUGAAAUCAAAGCCCUAAGUGAUAACUUCAAUGCCUAUUAUGCCGAUUGGCAAGGAGCCAAAAUUCAGAUUUGUCAAUCUGACAAAGAAGUUCACAAAUGUUGCAGCCCCAACACAACAAGAAAUUCCUCAGGCUAGAGCCUCUGCUCAGGCUGCUGAAGAACAUGCCAGCACCGCUGAUGAUUUUCAGCCUGCUGAUGACAAUGCUACUUCUAGGGCUGAUGACUCCAGUCCAGCCGCUGAAGAAAUUGCCAGGGCAUCCACUAGUGGUGCGCCUGAAGAAACUGAAGAAGUCAGGGAAACUGCAUCAGUUGCGCCGGAGGAAAUUCAACCAGAUUCCUCAGCUCCUCCCGCGCCUACACCAACUCCAAUCCUUCCAUCUGCAUCUGAUGUGAAGAAGACCAAGGCUGCAGAGCGAGCUGCAGUGAAGAAAAUGAAAGCAUCAGUUGCUUCAAAUUCUUCAGCCCCGAAGAAAAUGAAGCCUAUGACAAGCUCUUUUGAAAAUCCAAUCGAUGCUGUUCCAAUUUCCUCCAUUCCAUCAAAGGACCUUGUUCCUUUUGGUGAAGAGUAUGAGAUCCCAAGCGGAUGUGAUGAAGAAAAUCAUUCUGCUGCUUCAUCAGAGCAGAUUGAUGAAGAAAUUGAAGUGGAUGCAAUCCCUUCAACACCAAUCAUUUCCUCGCCUAUGCCUCAGUUCACAGCUGAAGAGGCUGGUGUUGAGGAAAUUGAAGACGAAGACGUGGAUAUUGGAUGCACCACACCUGUGAUGAACGAUGACCUUUGGGAAAGUCAGCAUCCCAAUUCUCCACUCUUCACCCCAAUCCAACAAAUCCCUCAAUCCCCUGCACCAACGGUUCAAAUGGGCUCUGAAGAAACUCAUCCCAACUCAUCCGUGCAUGAAGAAAUUCCAGCCACUAGCGCUGAAGAACCUGCUGCUGCUGAUCCUAUGAACAUGCAGACUGCAUAUGAAGAGGAACCAGAAAAUCCUCAGCCUGAAGAACCUGAGAUUGCGAUUCCAGAGGUAGUGAUGCAACUCAAUGAGACUCCACUGCCAAAGCCAAAGAAUCCAUUCUCAACGAAGCAAAAGUUCAAGGCUGAAGAUUUCUUUGGCGAGCAUGCAUUCUUCACUGACUACAAUCCUUAUGACUGUGCUCGCAUAAGGAAGAGGCGUUUCUGGACUGCUAGUUAAGCCAACUUCUAUUCCUCUGUGCUAUUCAACAAAGACAAAGUCUUCGAUCAUGCACAUAUUCCUCAUGUGGACAUGGAAUCUCUGCCAGGCUUCGAGCAGUCCUCAGUGUUCUUCACGAUGCAGGAUUGCUGAAUUUCCGUACUCACAUCUGUGAUUGGAAUGAAGAACUCAUUCUUCAAUUCUAUGCGACGCUGCACAUCACCGGAGAUUCUAAAGAUGUGAACUCAUGGGUAUUGGACUGGAUGAUAGAAAAUACUCACUACAAGGCACCAGCAACUGAAUUGCUUCGUGCCCUCCCACUCAGUCCUCCCCUUGAUGGUGCUCGUUGCAUCUACAACGAACCGGAGCUUUCAAAUCAUUACAUGCAAGUGCUGAUGAAGCCUUUGAAGCCAGGGCAGGCACCUCGAACCAAAUUCUUUGUCAAGGAAUUACUGUAUGUGCCUCGGACUAUCUAUCGCAUUCUGACGAAGACAAUGAGUCCUAUCAAAGGUCACAACUCAAAUGAUGAAGAAGUCAUUGGCAUCAUGAAGAAUAUGCUUUUCAAUAUCAUUCAUGGCGUUCCCGUCAACUUCCAUGAUUUCUUCAUGAGUACUCUGGCAAACAUUGCUAUGUCACCUUUUGAGAUGAAGCCUUAUGCACCAUGGAUUAUGAGGUUCAUCAGGACAAGGUCUUCACUCAAUUACAAGGCUGACACUCUGAACAACUACAGCUACUUGCCUCCAAUUGAAGUCCUCAAAUGGACAUUUUCCUCAGCUGAUGACAAGGGCAAGGCAACUACUGUGAUAGAUGAAGGCAUUCGUCCAUUGGAUGGUCAAUUUCGCAAAGCUGCAUCCUACUCCACCAAUGAUGACUCUGCCACACAUGACUCUGCCGCCAAUACCUCAGCCAAGCAAAAUCCUCAAGCCACAGCACCCAGGGUGAUGACUGAUAGUUAGUUACUCCUCAGUCUUCAUCAGAAGGUUGAUGGCAAUCAUAAAUGGGUCAAGCGUCAGUUUGGUUCAAUUCUUCACAACAUGACCUCAACACACAAUGCAGUGAAGAAAAACCAAUACUACCUCCAUGAAACCUUCAACCGCACCUGGGAUGUUCUUUCUAAUGUGUACAGCGCAGAAGAACUGAAGAAAAUGGGUCUCAAGGAAGAAUUAGACUAGUCUGUACCUCCACUGAAGAAAUUCAACAAGGUCAAGGUUCCUUCCUUGGUAGCCAGCUCCUAUUCUUCAUCGCGCAACACUGAUGAAAAUGAAGACUUGGACGACACUGCGGGAGGCCCUACUACGACAACCGACCCCGACAACGCUGGCGCUCCUUCAUCAACUUGAAAUUCUUGAGGGGCGUUAGUCCUUAGUUUCAAUCCUUUUGGUCAUUUGAUGACAAAGGGGGAGAAAUGUGAGUUAGUCUUCAAGCGGGUCUACUCUACAAUAUGGGCGUUUUUUUUCUAAGUUACAACUCUCGUUCUUCUAAAACAUUAUUCCUCUGCAUGCUUAUUCCUCAUUAUAUGUUAAUACACGCAUGCUGAACUACAUCAGUCACCAUAUUUCAUCAUGCAUUUCAAAUUCUUCAUAUUAUAUGUCAAAUGCGUGUAUGAAUUACAAGAUAUAGGGGGAGAUCUCCAUGAUUCAACUCUUCAAAUGUGCAAUGCCUCAAAAGCAAAAUUCCUCACUAUGCACAUCUUCAGGGGGAGUUCUUCUAUAUCUUGCAAUCAAAUUCCGCAAUAUCAGUAUUUACACUUCAUAUGUUUAUCCCCGUUGAAAACUUAACCUAUAUUGUCAUCAAUCACCAAAAAGGGGGAGAUUGUAAGUGCAUCUAGUGCCCCUUAGUGAUUUUGGUGUAUCGAAGACUUAUAGGUUAAGGGACUAAUGUGUUUAUGAGUGUCCACAGGUCUAUAAGUCUAUGAGGAGUUUGAUAUUUACAGAGAAAGUCGACCCCUAAAAAUGAAGUUCUUUGACUGAAGACUUUGAUAUUUUGAAGACUUUCUGAAGACUUUGAAAGUGAAGAAAUUGGUGUGACCUUGAAGACUUGGUAUUCAUUUGAGGAACAUGAAGCAUGAAGACUUUUGUUUUUGUAGUUUCGUUUUCUCUUUCUUGAGUCAUAGGAAACACCGUACUGUUAAAGGAGGUCAAGGAAAUACUAAGGAAAAAUUUCCAUGUGAUGCUCAACUCAAAAUCCUACACCUACCAAUCCCUUCAAGUGAAGCCUUUGGAAAUCUCAUACAGUUCAGUCAAUUUCUUCAGUGAUAGAGAUGAAGUUCUUCUAGUCUCUAAGGAAUUUGUUCUGACUGAGGAGUUAGGAAUUCACCAGUGCGGAUUGCCUACACAGUGAGGAACAUGAUAGCCCUGAGGAAUUUGAGAGUCAAAUUUCCGACCGUUGCUGUGCUGCGCGCCAGCUGUCCCAAAAUAUCUUAUCCACCUAACGGUCAUAUCAUUGAAGGGCAUUUAUGUCUUAUCAUGUUGGGCUGCUCCCUAGGCUAUAAAUAGCCGCCCCCUACAACCACUAGCUGGUUGGCUGCUUCGAGAGAACCUGCCACUUGUCAUUUGAGAGCAACCCAUCCUCCGAGGACUUUGAGUGAAAAUCAUCGAGUGAGGAAAAACCCAAAAACCAAACCCCUACAAACCCAAAGUGAUUGAGCAUCACUAAAGAGAUUGAUCCUGCGUGGAUCCGACACUUGUUACCUUUGAAGACUGUGCUUCUUCCAGACGGUUAGGCGUCAUGGUCUAGAGCAUCCAAGAGGAAUUGUGGAUCGCCGAGUGAACAAGUCUGUGAAGGUUUGGAAGUCGCCUGAAGACUUACCACGAGUGAUUGGAGGAGGUCUGUGUGACCUUAAUUCAAGGAGAAUACGGUGAGGACUUGGUGUCCUGAGCUGCAUUCUCAGCGACUGGGUGUCCGGGACUGUGUGUCCUCGAGUUUAAAUACUCAACCGCUCCAACCAGAUGUACAACUGAGACAACAGUUGGAACUGGUCUACCAAAUCAUUGUCUUCACCAACCUUCCUGGUUCUAUUCCCUCAACUCUUUCAUUUCCUCAUUACUGUAUUGAGUGAUUGUUCGUAUCUGUGUUUGAAGACUUUGACUGAAGACUUUCUCAAUUUCCUCAGUUCAAUUUCUUCAGUCUACUUGUCUUCAUCUUGUGUUAUCCUGUGACUACGCUUUCCGUACUCUGUGUUUGUCUUCAUUUCAUCAUGAUGACUAAGCCUGCAUUCCGUUAUGCUUACUUCUGAGUACUUAUUCCGCUGCAAGUAGUUCUUUGCUAAGGAAUUUCCUCACCGGCAAAUUCCUCUGUGAAGAAUUCUUAAAAAUCGCCUAUUCACGCCCCUCUAAUCGAUAUAACGCACUUUCAUAGGCGAAAAUAAUCAUGGCAACACACAGACUGUUGUAACCAUGGGCCUCCUGCAGGCCGUAUGAUCCAUGGGCCUUCAUUCGGCCGUAGGACCAUUGGCCUUCUAUACAGGCCGUAGGAUCCAUAGGCCUUCUAUACGGGCCUUAGGGAUCAAUGGGCCUUCUACGGGUCGUAGGGUCCAUGGGCCUUCUACGGGCCGUACCAUCCAUGGGCCUCAUACGGGCCGUAGGAUCCAUGGGCCUUCUACGGGGCGUAUCAUCAUUUCACCAUUCAUGGGCCGUACUAUUCUUGGACCAUAACGAGCCGUUAAUAGGCCGUAUUUGAUAACUCUAUGAAAACAGCCCAACGGGUUUUUUUGACAUGAAAACGGCCCAACGUAUUAAUGGUCCGCAAACGGGCCGACUAUAACGACGGGCUGAAUUUGGCCCACAAGCAGAAAAUGACAGUAACGGGCCGUUUGUAACCGAAUGCUGCAAAUGAGCCCAAGAAUCAAUGGGCCCUGAGAAGGCCGAAAGAUAACUUGGGCUGGAAACGGCCCAAUGGAAUAACGGGCCGUUAAUGGGUAUAAAGUGAUACACUGUUCAUUACGGGCCAGUUUCACAACGGGCCAUUAAUGGGCAAAGAGUUACAAAGGUCCUCAUAUGGUCCGAAAGAAGUCAUGGGCCAGACAUGGGCCGGAAGUUAAAACGGGUGAAUCAUAUUGGACGGCCCAGAUGAUGCUACUGGGCCUAAUUCAGAUAGGGUGUAACGGGCCCGCGGUUAGCGGGCUGUAAAUGGGCUAUAUGCGAACAGGCCGUUAACAGGCUUUCCGUGGGCCGUCCCGCCACCUUUUGACCAAGUCAAACGGGCCGGCCUUUUCACACGAAUGGGCCUCUGUUGGGCCGUGCCACGUGUCGACAUAUCAUAGGCGCCUUCUGUCCAAUGAGUGGAUGAUAUCUGUCCCAACGGUGAGCCGACACGUGUUUCCUCCAGCCAAUGAUGAUUUUACACGUGGAAAAUCCCAAUUGGUCGGGGCUGUUAAUGGGUUAUCGGAUCCAAAACCCGACCCGAUAGCUUAACGGCGUUCCGUUACGGUGGAUGCCACGUGUUGGUCACCCUUGACGAAAGCAGUUCUGUGACGCGCGAUUUAUCGUCAUGGAAGUGGACACUUCCGUGAUGAUAAUUUUGGUAAUGUCAUGGAAAACUUCUACGACAGCACAGGUAUGACUAUCUUGAUUCUAUCAUAAAUUUGUCAUGGAUGUACAUGCAUGACAAAAAACGCAAACUACUGUGACAAACACGUAUCAUCACGGAAGUGUAUUUUUUUUGUAGUGUCACCACCUGAACUUUGCCCUCUGGCCGACCUAAGUCCAAAGUUCAUGUCUAGUUUGAUGUUCGUGGUAGUUUUGAAGGUUACCACGCUUGGGUUUGGUCUCAGGUGUAGUACAAAUGAUUUCACGUGCCAGGUAAGUUUCUAGACAGUAACUUUGAGAGCUUACUGUGGCCAAACUACUGGGAGUUGGGGGUUGGGCUUUGGAGGCUAGCAAUCAUCUACUAAGGUGAUGAUGCACAAGAAAAACCAACCACAAUUGAGCAAAUAAAAUGGUAGUUUAUGUAGAAACUACCAUUUCUGUCCAGAACAGAAAAUAUUUUCUGUAGCAAAAAUAUUCCAAAAAGUGAUGAAAUAUUUUUGCUCAGAAAGGUGCCCUAGGGUUCAAAGAAUAAUUAGGAUUUUUCUCUGAUUUUUAUGGGCAAGAAAAAUUGGGGUUGCUUUGGAGCACAUUGCUCUAGCUAGGGUUUAAGAGAUGGAAAUGAAUAUUUUUCAUUAAGAAAAAUAUUCCAAAUAUUAUUUUGGUGUGAACCAAAGAGGGAAUGAUGGUUAGAGAGGGAAAUGGGGCACUUGGGUGGAAGCCAAGGGGUACCCAAGUGGUUAAGUCCAUAUGAAAAGAUUCAAAACUCCAAGUUUCAAAUUCGAAACAACUGAAAAUCAGGCAAAGAAGAGAGGGUAAAAACUAGGCUGUCACAAACCUCCCCCACUUAGAAUGAAUCUCGUCCUCGAGAUUCGGUUGCUUGGGAAAACCAUUCUGGGUAAUGUGCCUUUAGAAAUUCUUCCCGUUCCCAAGUUGAUUCUAACUUCGUAUGAUGCUCCCACUGGACUUUGUACAAUUUCCUUGCUUUACUACGAGUGACCCUUUCCAUCUGAUCCAAGAUUCUAACCGUCCUCUCUUCGUAUGUUAAAUCCUUUGCCAGCUCUAUUUCAGUCAUAUCAGUCUUUUUCUCAGGCGGCGAUAUGCAUCGCCUCAAUUGUGAAACAUGAAACACGUUGUGCAUGUCCGACAAUUCAGGGGGUAGUUCCAACUGAUAUGCAACAGUACCCACUCAUGAUGGGAAAUGGACCAAUAAAUCUAGGUGCCAGCUUUACAUGAGUCUGGAAUCUCUUGAUUCCUUUCAUAGGCAUGACUCGGAGGUAUACGUGUUCUCCGGGUUUAAAACUGAUCUAUCGGUGAUUUGCAUCAUAAUAACUCUUCUGUCGAGAUUUGGCCAACUGCAAUCUGUCUCUGAUUUCCAUGACUUGUUUCUCAGCUUCCAUCAUGAGAUCCGUUCCGAAAAUACGGCUAUCCGGUUUGAGACCAAUUUAAAGGGGUGCGGCACUUACGGCCAUACAAAGCCUCAUAUGGUGACAUCUUUAGACUAGUCUGGAAGCUAUUAUUGUAAGAGAACUCAGCAUACGGCAAGCAGCCUUCCCAUUUAGGUCCUUGGGCCAAAGCACAGGCUCACAACAUGUCUUCGAGUAUUUGGUUUACCCGCCCCGUUUGUCCAUCAGUCUGAGGAUGAUAAGCGGUACUGUAUUUCAGCGCUGUCCCCAAGGCUUGAUGGAGAAGGGAACAAAAAGCGGAUGUAAAAAGUAAACCUCGGUUAGAAGUGAUGGUUUGGGGUACUCCAUGCAGGCUGACUAUUCUGGAUACAUAGAGCUGUGCAAGUUGAUCUUCUUGGUACGUAGUUCUGAUUGGGAUAAAGUGGGCAACCUUGGUUAAGGUGUCCACUAUGACCCAAAUUGCAUAAUUGCCUCGCUGAGUCUUCGGCAGCCCUCCAUGCAGACAUCAUCCCAUUUCCAUUGUGACACUGGCAGCGGUUGGAGAAGUCCGGCUGGCUUCUGAUGCUCUGCCUUCACCUUGUUGCAUAUGUCACAACAGGCCACAAAAUAGGAAUUGUCUUUCUUCAUUCCAUCCCACCAGAAUAUUUGUCGAAGGUCUUCAUACAUUUUCGUAUCUCUAGGGUGAAUAGAAUAGGAGGAUUCAUGUGCUUCUGACAGGAUUUUUUGCUUCAAAUCUGCUUGAUUGGGUACACAAAUCCUUCCAUGGAGUUGGAGGGUACCGAAUUGUUCCUUCAAGAAAUCUGAAAUCUGUCCCGCUACCAUAUUCUUGGCACGUUUUUGCAGGACGGUGUCAGCUGGCUGGACCUUGCGGAUGUCUUCCUCAAGUGUGGGGAAACUUCCAAAAUAUUAGCAAGGCCAGCAUCCACUAUGACCAGGUUGAGCUGAGCAAUCUCCUCUUGAAGUUCAGGAGGCAAGGAUUCCAAUAUGACAUUUAGGCUGACAGGCUUUCCACUGAGUGCAUCGGCAACCACGUUGGCCUUACCCGGGUGAUAAUUUAUUCGAAGGUCAUAAUCCUUGGCUAACUCUAUCCAUCUUCGUUGACAGAGAUUUAAAUCUGGCUGAGUAAAUAUGUACUUGAUACUUUUGUGAUCGGUAAAAAUUUGGCACCUCUUCCCGAUGAGAUAGUAUCUCCAAAUUUUUAGAGCAUGAACCACUGCGGCCAAUUCCAAAUCAUGAGUAUGAUAAUUUCCCUCAUGGGGUCAUAGCUGUCGCGAUGCAUAUGCUACUACCUUGCCGUCUUGCAUAAGUACGCAUCCAAGUCCUUGUGUGGAGGCGUCAUAGUACACAUCAAAACUGCGGUAGAUAUCUGGAAGAGUCAAUACAGGCGCAGUUGUCAGCCAUAUCUUUAGCUCAUUGAAACAUUUCUCAUAGUCCUCAGUGCAUUCAAACUUCUUAUCCUUUUUGAGCAGCUCCUUCAUGGGUUUGGCAAUCUUGGAAAAACCUUCAAUUAAAUGAUGGUAAUAUCCGGAUAAUCCAAGAAAACUUCGGAUCUGAGAUACGGUUGUGGGUGGCAACCACUCGAGCACAUCCUUUACUUUGCCCGGGUCCACGGCUAUACCUUCGGCGGAUAGCACAUGUCCAAGAAAUCCAACUUGCUUGAGCCAAAACUCACAUUUACUGAAUUUGGCGUAUAGCUGAUGUUCGCGGAGUCGUUGUAACACUGCUCGGAGGUGUUCUUUGUGCUCUUCUUCACUUCUUGAGUAAAUAGGUAUGUCAUCGAUGAAGACUACCAUGAACUUAUCGAGAAAUUCCAUGAAUACUUUGUUCAUCAUAUGCAUGAAGAAGGCAGGGGCGUUGGUGAGACCAAAGGACACAACUGUCUAUUCAUACAGACUGUAUCGAGUGGUGAAUGCGGUCAUAGGAAUAUCUUCCUUUUUAAUCUUGAGCUGAUGAUAUCCUGUCCGUAAAUCAAUCUUGGAGAAUACCUUGGCCCCACUGAGCUGAUCAAACAAGUCAUCAAUCCUUGGCAGCGGAUAUUUAUUUUUGAUGGUGACAUCAUUCAGCUGACGAUAAUCCACACACAUGCGGAGACUGCCAUCCUUUUUGUUAGCAGGAAUUAAUUCCAAGUCGGCCACAACAGCGAAGACCAUUUCUUUCUUGGGUAUGCUUCUACGAGCAUAGAAUUUGGUAGUCUGCCCCUUCUGACCGGUCAACGUGACUUCUCAGGUCGCACAGUUUAUGCAUACUUGAUAUUGAGUCAGCCAAUUCAUACCCAAGAUAACAUCCAACUUAGCAGACUCAAUAAUUAUCAAAGAAGUUGGAAAAAAACUCCGUUGAUAUUGACUCCCAGAUUACGGCAGACCAGAUUGCUCCUGAUUAAGGAUCCCGGGGUUUGUACCAGCAUAUUCUUGCCUGAGGGAGUCGUGGAUUAGGGGGUGUCCGGAUGGCCGGACUAAGACCUUUGGCCAGACUCCCGGACUAUGAAGAUACAAGAUUGAAGACUCCGUCCCGUGUCCGAAUGGGACUUUCCUUGGCGUGGAAGGCAAGAUUGGCGAUACGAUAUGAAGAUCUCCUCCCAUUGUAACCGACUUUGUGUAACCCUAGACCUCUCCGGUGUCUAUAUAAACCGAAGAGUUUUAGUCUGUAGGACGAACAACAAUCAUACCAUAGGCUAGAUUCUAGGGUUUAGCCACUCUGAUCUCGUGGUAGAUCUACUCUUGUACUACCCAUAUCAUCAAUAUUAAUCAAGCAGGAGUAGGGUUUUACCUCCAUCAAGAGGGCCCGAACCUGGGUAAAAACAUCAUGUCCCUUGUCUCCUAUUACCAUCCGCCUAGACGCACAGUUCGGGACCCCCUACCCGAGAUCCGCCGGUUUUGACACCGACAUUGGUGAUUUCAUUGAGAGUUCCUCUGUGUCGUCACUUUUAGGCCCGAUGGCUUCUUCGCUCGUCGACCGCGACGCUGUCUGGGAUGAGACUUUUCUCCCCGGACAGGUCUUCAUAUUCGGCGGCUUCGCACUGCGGGCCGACUCGUUCGGCCAUCUGGAGAUCGGGAGCUACGCCCCUGGCCAUCAGGUCACAUUUGGAAGCUUGAACUACACGGCCGACAUCCGCGGGGACUUGAUAUUCGACGGAUUCGAGCCACAACCGGGCGCGCCACACUGUCAUGAUGGGCACGAUUUAGCUCUGUCAUCGUACAACGCCCAGAGCGUCGCUCAGGUGUCCGCUCCGACCAUUAGCUCAGAGCCCUCUACGCCAGUCGGGGACGGACGGUUAGACGCCACCCCAGAAAUGGCAAUCUCUACGGCGAUAGAGCCGGAUACCAGCCUAGUCCCUCGCAAGGCCCGUGACUCCGAGGUGCCGGACUCCGAGGUGCCGGACUCCGUAAAUCCCGCACCUCUCCCGGUUAAGCCCGAUUGGGAUCCGGUCAUGGAGUUCACCACCGCGGACGUCUUUCAUCGCUCACCUUUCGACAACAUCCUGAAUUCAUUAAAGUCUCUCUCUUUGUCAGGAGAGCCUUGGCCGGAAUACGGCCAACAUGGUUGGGAUGCGGACGACGAAGAAAUUUGUAGCCCACCCACCACCCACAUCGUAGCCACUGUCGACGAUUUAACUGACAUGUUAGACUUCGACUCCGAAGAUAUCAACGGUAUGAACGCCGAUAAAGGAGACGAUUAAGAACCAACACCUAUAGGGCUCCAGAAAAACAACUCAUCAUACGAUGUAUACAUGGUGGACACACGCAAGGGAAACGACAACGAGGACCAAAAGGAUACGGCCAGGGACCGCUCCCCCAAAAAACAAUCAAAGCGGCGGCGUAAGCGCAAGGCCAAGCCCCACCUCGACAAAAACCCAGCCAUAGAGCAGGGUGACUCAACGGACGAUGAACAUGCCGUCGAGCAUCCGUCCAAGCAGGGCGGACAAUCCGAACAACCAACCCCCGGGAAGGAUAAUAGCCCGGACGACCUCACACCAGACAAAUUGCUGGAACAUCAGAACCUCCACCAAUGGCUCGUCGCCACCGCACGUAGCCUGAAAAAGCAGAAGCGGAGGCUCAAGACAGCGGAGAAUGCACUCAGGAUCAGAUGGGGCAAGGUACUCAAUACCGCCCACAAGUACGGCAAUAGUCGCCACACAAACAGCUAUCCGAAGCAGAAACUACUAUCGGAAUUUGACGAAGAGGCCAUAAAGCCCCCACAGUCAGAAAAUAAGGACGCCACAAGGUCAGAUAGACGACCCUACGACCAAUCUCACGCAUCAAAGGACGCCGUACUCAAUAUAGCGCGCGAUCCGUCCAAGACUGGCCCUACCAGAUCCAUCUAUAGGCCAAGAAAGCAAGCUCCAAUGAGUGAUGCAACGCAAAAAAUACCCGAAAAUCGCGGCACGCCUAAAUACAGAGGCGCCGCACACCCCCUAUGUUUUACUGAUGAGGUGCUGGAUCAUGAAUUCCCAGCCGGAUUCAAUCCAGUGAACAUAGAACCAUACGACAGAACAACAGACCCUGGAGUCU
Molecule: long non-coding RNA, 80106 nt
Filed under: Triticum aestivum (bread wheat)
Lineage: Eukaryota; Viridiplantae; Streptophyta; Magnoliopsida; Poales; Poaceae
Description: long non-coding RNA (TAES_LNC028121)
Source: RNAcentral